UGUUCCAAAUUGCAGUAUCUAUUUACAUCUUCAGUCGCCAAAAAGUUAGUGAACCUCGAAGAGAUCAUAGUCUGCCAAUGUAAAUCACUGAAAGAAAUAGUGGUCAAAGGGGGAGAUGAAGAUGAGCCCAAAGGAGAAGGUGAAGAUAAAUAUGAAAAUGAGAUUAUAUUCAAGAAGCUUGAGGAUUUGACUCUUACCUCAUUAGACAAAUUUGAAGGCUUUUACACCGGGAGUUCCACUUUGAAUUUCCCAUCCUUGAGAAGUGUGUGGGUUGAAAAACGCUUCAGCACCAAAGUUUUCCGUGGUCGUGAUAAAGUGCCUCGAAAUUUACGGUGGUUAUAGAUGAAAUCCAUUGUGUAGGUGAUAAAAAACAUUUGAUCAUGCAAUAACUUAGUUUGAAGAUAUUCCUCAUUUAAUAACUUUUCUUUGUUUCUGCAUUUUACAUAAAUGAAGAAAUAUGAAAUGUUAAAUCAGAAAAUAAUUUUCCUUAAUAUGUGUUUGUCAUCACUAACCUUGUAAAUCAUUUGCUUCAGGAAAAUGUCAGCUGAAAGAAACUUAUUGUCAUUGCGUUGGCUUAAGGUACCCCUGAAAACUUGUUUUCUUCUUUUCAUUAAGCACAACAACAGAGAAGAAAUGGAAUGUUAGUGAGUUUAUUUUUCUUCUUUCAUUCAUAAUUUUCCAUCUUUAUAAAACAUUAUUCUUAACAUAAUAAAUGAUGUUUCCAUCAUUCUUAACAUAAUAAAUGAUGACAUGAUAAGUUAUUCUUAAAGAUUGAAGGAAAGAAAAGUUCUGAUAUAAAAAUUUGAUAAAGCAUGGACACUAGUCAGAACUAGAAAUAUAACACUAAUUCAGACUAUUAAAAUAUUGAUAGUCAGGUUUUCUCAUGCCUUACAAAAACCAGUUUAAAGGCUGUGAAUCUUUCACUUCUCAAAGUUGGGAUUUCACUUGCUGCACAUGAACAUAUUCGUCUUCUUUUCCUAAUAGUUUUAAAUUGUUCCACACUCUAACCAUAGUUCUUUUAAAAAAAUUCAAGUUGCAGGGAAUGAAGGCACUCUCUAUAGCGACAUGGCUACAACUAUCAACAAACAGAGGGCUUUUUCUUUCUGUUGCAGUCCAGUGUUGAUGAACAAAGUUUCCCUAGAUAUAUAAGGUUGUUUGUGAAUAAGUGUUGUUCCUGUAUUCAUACAGGAGCAGAUGCAUGUUGCUUUUAAAUUAUGUGAAGGAUGUUUCAUAUAUUUGACCAGAUUUGAAGUGUUUUAAAUUGAGUUCUUGAAGGAUUUUCUCUGAAUAAAUUUGACAUGAGUUUAUUUGUAGCGAAAGAUACUCCAUGGAUAAGUUGGAAACUAAGCCUUGCAUCCCUACACAUGUCGUGUAUGGUUGGUUUCUCUGUUAUAAGGUGUUUCAUGAACAAUACCUCAAUUAUCAACCCUCUCCUAUGAUAAAUGCCUUGUGUCUUAACCUCUUUCUGACUAUCUUAGAAUUUCUAAUAUUUCCUUAGCUUUAAACUUUGAUCACUUUCAUGUUAAUCAUCUUACUGGUAAUUAGACUUUGGAUUAGUGCUUUUAUCACUAGGAAUCUUGUUGACAUUUUUUAUGUCUAUAUGUUGUCAUAGAAAAUUUGAAGAUUUAGAAAGAAGAUAUUUUGGAGAAGUGGAAACUAAUUAUUCUACUCCAAGUUUCUUCAAUUUUUAUCAUCAACUUUAGGGAUUUCAAUGGAUCCCAUGUUUAGGGUUAGAUAAUGAAGCUAAACUCCAUAGAUGUUAAUGUUCUUAAAUUAUGUUUCACUUUUAUGCAUCACACUUUUGUGUGACUUAUUUCAUCCAAACUCUCUUUUGGCUAAUUUUCUUAUAUAGGAAAAAUGGUAAGUGUAUUUUGAACUGAUUUGGAACAUCAAUAGACAAAAGAUUUUUCUUUGCCAAUUUUUCUGUUAAAUUUUUUGCCAAUUUUCCUGAAAAAUAAUUUGUAAAUAUAAGACAAUUAGUGAGUCAACCUUCAUUUUAAGAUAUAAGCUUCAAUAGGUGUGUUGUUUUUGUUCUGGGUACAAAAAUAUAUUUUUCAACACCCAAUAAAUUAAAUAUCAAGUUAGGAUGAUCAAAACUAUUGUAAACAUUAAACAUAGAAAAAAAAUAUUAGCAUUGAAUGGAAAGACAUAUAUAUAAACAAUAUCAAUUAUAUGAGAAAUUAGUUUCUUAUGACAUCUAAUCCCAACAAAAUGAAUUUAGCUCUUCAUUAUCGUGAAGAGUCCAAAAAUAAAUAAAUAAACUACAGAGGAAAAUGGAGAACUAAGGAGGAGUAUGAAGUUCUUCAAGGAAACUCUAACAUCCCAAAAAUCUCUUCAAAAUGCUUUCUUUUCUCAAAAGUAGUCUAAGUUCUUUCACACAGUGUUUGGAUCAGGGGUGGCCCUGUAGCGUGGACGGAUUAUAGGGUGGCCACCCCCAUUUGGUUCUGUGAGAGGGGAAGGUGAGGGUGAGAGUGAAUGGAAAGGAGGUGGUUUGAGGGUCAUCUGAAAUAUGAAGAGAAAGGAGAGUGGAAAGUCACGUAGGAUUGGUUGAAAGACCAUGGUGCCCUUAUUCACGUUACACAACAGUAACCUUUUACUUUGCAUGGAAGCUAAGCACCACAUCUAUCUAGCCUUCACACAAAGAGUUGCAUUGAUAUAGGAUGCUUGGAGAGGGGUCUUUAGUAAGCAUAGAGGUAGGAGAAUGAGUUUGGUAGUUCAUGUUUGCCCUGAGGUUACGUUUUUUUUCAUUUUAGUUUCAUACAUAAUUGAUUAUCAUUGCAAAAUAACGCACUACAUAAUUGAUUAUGUAGUUAAAAACAGUUGAUAAUCGAUUAUGGUCGUGAUAUAAUCGGUUAUCUGAAAACUUUUGGCAAGCAUAAUCGAUUAUGAGAGCUUUGUUAUUUUGACCAUAAUCUAUUAUCUGUUAGCAUAAUCGAUUAUGUUAGAUUUUGAACUGCAAGAAUAGUUGAUUAUGUCUCUUAAAUCUUUGGAUAAUCGAUUAUGUGAUUUUUUUAAGGGAAGUGAUAAUCGAUUAUGUUCAUGGUUUUUUUUUUUUGAACAUUUUUUCAGGCACACUUUGAUUUUCAGGCACAAUUUAUUUAUGUUUAAAUUGUGUUUGGAUGUUUAUUGUUUUUGGAAUUGAAUUUUUUAAAAUUAUUUGAAAGUAGUUAUUUAUGUUAAUUAGUUUAUAAUUUUAGAUGUCAAUAUUUAAGAGAAAUUUAUUAAUUAUAUUAGUAAAUUAAUUAUUGUGAUAAGUUGUUUAUGUAAUUGUAUAUUGGAAGGAAAGAAUUUGAUGAAAUAUCAAUAUUUAUUUUGUGUGAGAUGAAUUGAAAUCAUAGAUAUGAAUAUGUAUUUUAAAAAUAUUAUAAAAAAAUUAUAGUAAUUAAAAAAGGCAGAAAAAGUUAGAGAAGAAAUUUGAAUUUUUAAUGAUAUGUGUAGAUAGUUUUUAUUUUUUGAACAUUUAAUUAUUUAUAAAAAAAUAGAUUUAUUUAUUUAAAGAAAAUAUUUUUACAGAAUGGAAAUAUAAAUUUUUAAUGUUUACUGUUUUUUUUCUUAGAUUUUACAUUAAUUAUUAAUCUUAUAAUUAAAAAGAUUAUAAAAAUUGUUGUAGUUAUUAAAAACACAAAAAGAUUAGAGAAGAAAUUUGAAUUUUGAAUAAUAUGUGUAGAUAAUUUUGAAUUUGAAUUUUAAAUUUUUAAUGACUUUAUAUUAUAUCACUAAAAAAAAUGUGUAAAAAGUGGCGGUUUUAAUAUAGCGGUUAUUGAUAACCGCCACAAAUUUCAGUAUAAUACGUCAUUUCAUUAACCGUCAUAAUUAUCUUUCAAAUUAUGUCAUUUUUAACUGUCAUAAUUUUCCUUCAGAUUUGAAAACUUGCUUUAUUCCUUUAUUCCUAUAUUCACAUUUUUAACUGAUUUAAAAAUCCUUCAGUUUUUCACUUGAAAAAUGAUUUUUUUUUAAAACUUAAGAAAAUAUUUUUUUUUUAAUUUCAUUUUGAAAACCAGAGUGAACCCUAACUCUAACGCUUUCACACUUCUCUCUGCCUCACACUCACACGAACCCUAGUGCAUGCUGCCUCACACGAACCCUAGCGCUUGCUGCUUCCACACGAACCGAGCGCUCUCUGCCUCACACAAACCCUAGCGAUGUCGGCCUCACACGAACCCUAGCGCUCGCUGCUUCCACACGAACCUAGCGCUCUCUGCCUCACAUGAACCCUAGCGCUCGCUGCCUCACACGAACCUAGCGCUCUCUGCCUCACACAAACCCUAGCGCUCUCUGCCUCCAUACGAACCCUAGCGCUCUCUGCCUCACAAAACCCUAGCGCUCUCUACCUCACAAAACCCUACUCUCUCUGCCUCUACACGGAACCGAUUUGAAGGUAAUUAAAUGUUCGCGCGUUCUCUUAUCAAUGCCGACCAUCGACUUUGUUUGAUGUUUAGGAUUUGUCAUGUGAUUUUAUUUGUGUAUUUCAUUAUGUGUUUCAUCUUUUUACUAGGUAGCUAAAGAGCAAUUGAAGCAAGUUAUCACAGAGGCGGCAGGGGAGAAAGAGUUUCUUGACUCGAGUUCUGAUUUUCGAGCAAUUGAAGCAAGUUAUCACAGAGGCAGGUGAGAGAAUUCUAAAACUCAUUUUGAGUUCUAAGAAAAUGCAAUAUCUUUUUCAAAUGCAAAAUUAGAGCAGCCUAAAAUUCCCAAGGUAUAAUUCUCUGCUGGUUUUCUCUGCUGGUAACUGGUGUUGUAUGAUGCACCUUCGACAGUGUGAAUUGGGUAAAAGAAUCAUCAUGGAGAAGGUGUUAGGAAAGUUAACUAAUAAAGAAACCACUGUUAGCUUUUUCUAUUUUGAUUUUUCCCAUCAUAUCCAUCUCUUUUGAGUUUUCACAUGUUGUAGAACAAUUUAUUUAUAUUAAUUGGAAGAUGUUUAGAAAGUCAGAAAUAAAAUAAAAUCUAAGGUUAUUAAGCAUACUACAGAAGCAUUUGAAUGUUCCAUGAAUAAGGCCCAAUAGUUGAGAGAGAAACCUACCAAGACAAGGAUUUCGUUUGCUGCAGAAACUGUUUUUCUGUAUUAAGCAAUGGAUCUAUGGAAAUUAUUAAAGAAGUCAAGUCAAGGGAUUUUAUUAAGUCCUUAAUCAUGACUAAAAGAUUAUAUAAAAGUGAGUUUAUAUUUUAAUUUUUUUAGUUUUCUAUUUAAUUCUCAUUUCUCAAAAAUUUAAAAUCAUUGUUUUGGAAUUAUGUCUCUUUCACCUACCACUAGAGGAAAACAAUAUGCUGAGAUUAUUUUUAAGAAUUCAGUUUUCACAACUCUUUUAAGAAUUCAGUUUUCACUAUGAUGCCCAUAACUGGUCCCUCUUGAUGCUUUGGUGAUGGUGACUAUGCUCUCCUGAUUGAGUGAUUAUUCUGAUUUGCUAUAUUUUGUGUAUUUGAUUGAGUAGGGUGGUGGUGAAACGUUACUAAGAAUUCUCAAUUAAUUCAUUGAUAAAAUUCACACAGGUUGUAAACAUUGUAAUAUACACUAGUACUUACUGCUCAUAACAAAUAUACUGAAUGUACAUAUAAGGUUUCCUUGAAAAGGUGACGGGUGAAAGAGUCCAAUAACAAUUGCUUUCAACUUUCUUUUUUAUGUCAGUUUAUCAGCAUCUAUCCUUAUCUCUUGUUUGGGUUAUGAUAGAAAGAUGAGUACUUUGUUGGCAAAAGCUGUGUUGUUGAAUAAUGCAUAUAUACCGAUGCUUGGUUUAUUCCAAUCCUUGAGCUAUUUUAGAUCGAGUUGCGAUAGUUAUGUGUAUUGAUAGUUGCAUAUUGUAUAUGAACUACCAAGUGUGAUGAAUGAGUGAGAAAGAGAGAAAACCCAGAGUGGUAAUACAAAAUUGUGUUAGAAUUUUGUGCUUGUCACAUGUAUACUGAAAUCACAAAUCGAAACCCUAUUGACAGGACAAUACUGUAGAACAAUCACUACAAAAAAAUCACUUUUAGCGACCACCAAAUUCGGUCACUAAAAUCACUAUAAUCGGUCGCUAAUCAUAUCUGCGACCGAAACAGUCACCAAAUAAAGAUGGAAGCGAAAACCCUGGUCGCAAAGCCGUUAGCGACCGAAUUAUAAAGUGGUCGCUACUUUGCAACCGAAAUUUCGAUGGCUAAAUCGGUCGCAGAGAAUUUGGUCACCAAAAUUUAGAAACUAAAUUAGCAACCGAAAAUUCGGUUGCUAAAUUUUUCGCAGAUAAAUUUAGUCACCAAAAUUCGAAAACCAAAUUAGCAACUGAAAUUUCGGUGACUAAAUCAAUCGCAGAAAAUUUGGUCACAGAAAUUCAAAAUCCAAAUUAGCUACCCAAAUUUCGGUGGCUAAAUCGGUGACUGAAUUAGAAGGUGAUAGUGACCACCAUUUUCGGUCGCUAAAAAAAAAUCUUUUGGUGACUAUUUCGGUGACUAAAUAGAGACUUCUACAGCGACGGAUUUGAUUUCGGUGGCUAUUUUAUUUGUAUUAUUAAUACCUAUUUAAAAUGGUAUUUUGACCAUUUUAUAAAAAAAUUCAGACCUGCUUAUAAAGAUACUCAAAAUUCAAUCAAGCUAAAUUGUAAUGAACUUCAAAUACAUAGUUUAAGAAGAAGUUGUGCUCAAAUUAAAGGUAAAUCAUACUACACAACUAAAACUGUUGAAAACUAGUUAAAAGAGUCAAAUCUAUGAUAUAAUUCAACAUAUAACUAAAUCUUCUUCUGAACUGUCAUCUCUACUCUGGUCUCCUUUAUGAUGUCCACUGGUAGUAGGAUCUGAAGAGCCUGAUGCGGGAUUAUUCANNNNNNNNNNNNNNNNNNNNNNNNNNNNNNNNNNNNNNNNNNNNNNNNNNNNNNNNNNNNNNNNNNNNNNNNNNNNNNNNNNNNNNNNNNNNNNNNNNNNUUGUUCCAUAUCCCACCUAUACUCUUUCUGCAUGUAAAAUAAAUUAGAAAAAAAACAUUGUAGAAAAAUAAAAUAUCAUUUUAAAUGUAAUCAUAACUCAAAUUACCUUGAACUCUCCAAACCAUCUAUCUCUAAGCUCAAGACGAACCUUCUUCCAAGUGGGACUGGGUUCAUCAUAUUUUUGCUUGAUGAUUCGUGAGAUUACAUUGGAAGGUCCAUUUUCAAGUGAAAAACUAUGUUCAAAACAUAUUGUCAAAAUGAUAUAUGAAAAUUAGAUCAUAUUUACGAAUUACAAUUAGAUUAAAAUAUACUUACUCUCCUCUUGCUGCAUGAAGCCAGGGUCUUUGAUCAACUACAUUGCCAAACUCAUUGUCAGGUGUAAGAGAGUCUUGUAUCGGUGAAGGUUGAUUCAUAGUUAGCUCUGUAGAAAAGGUAGUAGGAUUUGAUUCUCCUACAUGAUGUUCAAUAUCUUGUCCGUGAAGUGUAGGAAGUGGGGCGGCUCCUUCAUAAAUAGGAUGUGUAGACUCCAUAGUUGUUGGAAGAACAAACGAAGGGGGAAUGUUGGUAUUGGGUAAAGAUAUAUCAUCAACACGAACACCUCGACCACCACGAUUAGGUGGUCUACGACCACCACCUCUACCCCUUGGUGUCAUCUGCAAGUAAAAAAUAUUACAUAUAUAAGAUGUAAUUAAUACAAUAAUCAAAGUCGAUCAAUCAAUUUUGAAUAAACAAAUAAAGUAAUCAUGAUCAAAAGACUCAAACCUGAUUUUGUUUUCUACAACCAAAUAUGUCAACCAAAUAUGUCAGUUAUCUUCCCUGUUAUUCACUACAAUUAUGGGAAACCACAAUAAAAUUAAUGUUAAACAUAAUUUGGACUAGGUAUACAAUCAAUUUUAAUGCAUGAAUUACCGAAGAGGUAUCUGUGUCACUGAAAUCACUCUCAAUGUUAUCCUCACUUGAAAUGUAUUCCUCCUCGUAUUGUUCAUCUAUGUUUGUUUCAUUUAGUAAUUGUAUAUCUACUUCUUCUCCCCCCCCCAUCAACAUCAGCAAGAGAAUCAUGAAUGAAUUCNNNNNNNNNNNNNNNNNNNNNNNNNNNNNNNNNNNNNNNNNNNNNNNNNNNNNNNNNNNNNNNNNNNNNNNNNNNNNNNNNNNNNNNNNNNNNNNNNNNNNNNNNNNNNNNNNNNNNNNNNNNNNNNNNNNNNNNNNNNNNNNNNNNNNNNNNNNNNNNNNNNNNNNNNNNNNNNNNNNNNNNNNNNNNNNNNNNNNNNNNNNNNNNNNNNNNNNNNNNNNNNNNNNNNNNNNNNNNNNNNNNNNNNNNNNNNNNNNNNNNNNNNNNNNNNNNNNNNNNNNNNNNNNNNNNNNNNNNNNNNNNNNNNNNNNNNNNNNNNNNNNNNNNNNNNNNNNNNNNNNNNNNNNNNNNNNNNNNNNNNNNNNNNNNNNNNNNNNNNNNNNNNNNNNNNNNNNNNNNNNNNNNNNNNNNNNNNNNNNNNNNNNNNNNNNNNNNNNNNNNNNNNNNNNNNNNNNNNNNNNNNNNNNNNNNNNNNNNNNNNNNNNNNNNNNNNNNNNNNNNNNNNNNNNNNNNNNNNNNNNNNNNNNNNNNNNNNNGAUCUUCAAUAUUAUUUUCUGGAUUAGAACCUAAACAAAAGAUUAUAAAUUACACAAUGUCUCCAAAAGUAAAAUUUGUAUAAAAGGCAAAUUAAAAACAUACAUAUUGUUUGAACCAUAUAGCAAAAUAGGAUGAAAUGUAUUGGCCAAUUUGAGCUUCUGAAGCAGUAGGACUAAUCUCUCUUAAAUAUUUAACAUAAAUACUGCAACAAAGAAAUUGAUUAUUCAAACCUCAUGCAACAUAAUUAACUUUCUUUUCAAAUGAGUGAACAUUGUCUUACUCAAAAUAUGGUUGAACCUCUUCACAGUUUUGAAGAACAUACAAUUGGGCAGCAUCAAAGUCUUUUUGAUUUAGAUAAUAUGUCAUGCAUUUUCCGAUUUCUCUUCCUGGAUAAUUGAAAAUUGAAAUAGGAGGAGCACGUGAAGAACCCUCGCCUACUUCAAGAUUACGAGGGAUCCUAGUCCUUCUUGUUUCAACAUGAUCAGGAUAAUAAAAUGAGGCAAAUGUAGAUGUUUCCUCCACCAAGUAAGCUUCACAAAUAGAGCCUUCCACCCUCGCUUUAUUUUUUACUUUUUUUUAGGGAGUGUAAGAACCUAAAAAAGAAUAUGGAUGUACAUAAUUUUAAAUAUUAAAUAAAUAAACAACAAAUAUUAUAAUAGUGAUUAGUUCCAACGAUAUUGGACUGGACCACCAACUUUUGCCUCGUAAGGUAGAUGAAUUGGAAGAUGUUCCAUGGAAUCAAAGAAGCUUGGUGGAAAUAUUUGUUCCAAUUUACACAAUAACACAGGAAUAUUUUCUUCCAUAACUCUUAGGUGGUCAACAUUUAGUGUUGUCGAACUUAAUUCUCUGAAGAAAAGACUAAGUUCAAUAAGAACUUUCCAGAUUGAUUUUGGUAAUGCGUCAAAUGCAAUUGGAAGCAAACGUUGCAUGAACACAUGACAAUCAUGACUUUUCAUGCCAUGUAACUUGCCUCGAUUAAGGUCAAAACAUCUACCCAAAUUGGAAGCAUAUCCAUCUGGAAGCUUCAGUUCUUUAACCCAUUUACAAAUAAAGACUCUUUGGGAUUUCGUAAAUGUAUAUGCUGCUUUUGGUUUGAUAAGUUUGCCACCACCAAUGUCUUUCAACUCUAGCUCUUUUCGAUUGCAUAUUUGUGCUACAUCCAAUCGAGCCUUGUUUGUGUCCUUAGUUUUUCCUUUGAUAUCCAUCACAGUGUCAAACACAUUCAUGAACACAUUUCUCUCUGUGUGCAUAACAUCAAUAUUGUGACGUAAAAGUUGAGUUUUCCAAUAUGGCAACCUCCAAAAUAUACUUUGUUUCUUCCAAUUAUGUUUAAUACCAUAUUCAGGAAUAUUUUGUUGUUCUUGUAAUUCAGUGCAAACUGGUAAGUGUGCAACCCUAUUCCAAAUGUCAAGACUAGACAAACGUGGAGGAGGGGGAUCAGUCUCAACAAACUUCUUCUUGAAUGCCUUUUUAUUCUUCCUAAAUUGAUGAUCAGGUGAAAGAAAUUGACGAUGACAGUCAAAAAAGGAUAUCUUGUGGCUAUGACUAAGAUAAAAAGCCUUUGUUCUUUCCAUGCAUAUAGGGCAAGAAAGUCUACCAGAAGUCAUCCAACCCGAUAACAUGCCGUAAGCUGGAAAGUCAUUAAUUGUCCACAUCAAAGCAGCUUUCAUCAUAAAAUUUUGCCUUAGUGACACGUCAUAAGUCAAUAUCCCUUCAGUCCACAAGGUGCAUAAGUCAUCUAUAAGUGGUUGCAAGAACACAUCAAUCUUAUGCUUUGGAUUUGAAGGACCUGGAACUAAGAUUGUCAAAAACAUAAACUCUCUCUUCAUGCACAUGGAAGGCGGAAGGUUGUAUGGGGUUAGGAUAAUUGGCCAACAAGAAUAACUUUUUCCAUAUUGACCAAAAGGAUUAAACCCAUCUGCACAUAAACCUAAUCUGACAUUUCUUGGGUCUUGACUAAAAUCUGGAUGCAUUCUAUCAAAAUGCUUCNNNNNNNNNNNNNNNNNNNNNNNNNNNNNNNNNNNNNNNNNNNNNNNNNNNNNNNNNNNNNNNNNNNNNNNNNNNNNNNNNNNNNNNNNNNNNNNNNNNNNNNNNNNNNNNNNNNNNNNNNNNNNNNNNNNNNNNNNNNNNNNNNNNNNNNNNNNNNNNNNNNNNNNNNNNNNNNNNNNNNNNNNNNNNNNNNNNNNNNNNNNNNNNNNNNNNNNNNNNNNNNNNNNNNNNNNNNNNNNNNNNNNNNNNNNNNNNNNNNNNNNNNNNNNNNNNNNNNNNNNNNNNNNNNNNNNNNNNNNNNNNNNNNNNNNNNNNNNNNNNNNNNNNNNNNNNNNNNNNNNNNNNNNNNNNNNNNNNNNNNNNNNNNNNNNNNNNNNNNNNNNNNNNNNNNNNNNNNNNNNNNNNNNNNNNNNNNNNNNNNNNNNNNNNNNNNNNNNNNNNNNNNNNNNNNNNNNNNNNNNNNNNNNNNNNNNNNNNNNNNNNNNNNNNNNNNNNNNNNNNNNNNNNNNNNNNNNNNNNNNNNNNNNNNNNNNNNNNNNNNNNNNNNNNNNNNNNNNNNNNNNNNNNNNNNNNNNNNNNNNNNNNNNNNNNNNNNNNNNNNNNNNNNNNNNNNNNNNNNNNNNNNNNNNNNNNNNNNNNNNNNNNNNNNNNNNNNNNNNNNNNNNNNNNNNNNNNNNNNNNNNNNNNNNNNNNNNNNNNNNNNNNNNNNNNNNNNNNNNNNNNNNNNNNNNNNNNNNNNNNNNNNNNNNNNNNNNNNNNNNNNNNNNNNNNNNNNNNNNNNNNNNNNNNNNNNNNNNNNNNNNNNNNNNNNNNNNNNNNNNNNNNNNNNNNNNNNNNNNNNNNNNNNNNNNNNNNNNNNNNNNNNNNNNNNNNNNNNNNNNNNNNNNNNNNNNNNNNNNNNNNNNNNNNNNNNNNNNNNNNNNNNNNNNNNNNNNNNNNNNNNNNNNNNNNNNNNNNNNNNNNNNNNNNNNNNNNNNNNNNNNNNNNNNNNNNNNNNNNNNNNNNNNNNNNNNNNNNNNNNNNNNNNNNNNNNNNNNNNNNNNNNNNNNNNNNNNNNNNNNNNNNNNNNNNNNNNNNNNNNNNNNNNNNNNNNNNNNNNNNNNNNNNNNNNNNNNNNNNNNNNNNNNNNNNNNNNNNNNNNNNNNNNNNNNNNNNNNNNNNNNNNNNNNNNNNNNNNNNNNNNNNNNNNNNNNNNNNNNNNNNNNNNNCUUGAAAACUUUACAACUACAUUUAAACAAGGACAUCUUAACAUUUCACCUUGUUCUUGAAACUUUUCUUGACUAAUAACAUAUUGUAGGAACUCAUACACUCCUUCUCUAAAUUCCUCUGUCAGAUGUUUGUUUCUAUCCAAUCUUUUAUACAUCCACUUUCUACCUUCGGGGAUUUCCAUUAAUGCAAUCUGACUACAACAAAUUCUUAAUGUAUACACUUGUUUUAGGAGAGAGAAAACAGAACACUGAAUGGAGAAAGUAAAAAAUGGAUGCAAAUAUGAAAGUAUUGGGUUGACAGGAAGAGAAACAUACCUUUGUUGGUUCACUUUGUAACUGAUCUUGGGAGGAGGUUCUAUUAUUUAUAUAGAGCUGCGGCUAUAUAUAUUUUUCCUAUAGACAAGAGAGACGAAGAAUAUCAUAUUGAAUCAAAAGAUCAUUAAAAUAAGUAAAACUAGAUUCAGCCUAAUAAUAAAGGUUUAGUCACCAUCAUCGAAAACUAAUAAAAAUUGAGAUAUAAUCAGCCAUUGAUUAGCCAUAUUGCCAACAGUUUCAUCUUGAUAUCAUACAAAAGAAUAAGAAAGAAGAAACUACAAACUAAGGAAAUGAAUGCAGAGGCAAGUUUAGAACAGAGGGAAAAAUCUUUCACCUUUUAUUUUUUAAAGUUCAACCAUUAAUUUGGUCCCUAUAGUUGAACAAACUUUACAUUUUAGUCUCAUGUAAAGAUCAUAUUUUUAGUCUUAUACAUACUAUUGUAAUCUCUUUUAAUUUCUAUGAAUUUAAACAUUGAGACUAACAAAUUAAAAAUGGUAUGCAUAAAAACUAAAAGUAAUCGAAAUAAUGAGUGAGAUAAUGGCCUUUUUUUAAUAUUGAUUGUGAUUUUUCAGUAAAAAAUAAAUUUUAUGCACUCUGUUCUAAAGUGACAUCAAUUGGAAUGGUGUCCAAAAUUAGUAAAUAAGGAAGAAUUUUGGAGAGUUAAUUGCAUAUGAAAGAUAAAACACCACAUUGCACAACAUUAAUGUAGUAGUAUAAACAUACACAUGUAACAAUGAUAAAACAAGAUAAUUUUGUAACUCCAAAAGGUUCACUCUAAGAAAGGUGGAGUAAAACACAGCAAUUGCUUUACUGAAAACUACCUGAGGAACAACAAUUGCUAGAUUUAGAACUCCUAUGGCCAAUCCUGCAAAACCAACAGGCAUCUUGAGAUCAUAAACAUUAAAAGACCAAAUAUUCAGGAUAUCAAAACUAUCUACAACUAAUACCAACCUUGGCCACCUCCUGAAUCAGCCGUCAACUCUGCUGUGACAGCAAAUGGAACACUAUAGGUAAUCUGCCACAGAUAUGGGAAAUUUAUUAUGUCAUGCACUCCCUUAGGUAUUUAAUAAAGCUAAUAGAAUGAUUNNNNNNNNNNNNNNNNNNNNNNNNNNNNNNNNNNNNNNNNNNNNNNNNNNNNNNNNNNNNNNNNNNNNNNNNNNNNNNNNNNNNNNNNNNNNNNNNNNNNAAUCUGGUGGUGCAACAAAUAGUUUAAAUGUAAAAGUCAAACAACUCAUUCAUUGAUUUUAGCUCCAGGCAUUUGUCAACUAAGGCAAAAAGCCCAUUCUCAGUUACAUGACGACAACUCCAAAGAAAAAUGGUCUGAACAAAAACAAUAAGCUAUCAUUUAUAAUGCAAUGGAAUAUCACAAACAUCGAAUAUAAACCAGUGAAGAUUGAUGAUCAGGCUCAUACAGACAGUGAGAUUAUUGAAAUGCCAUUUCUUAGACAAUUGUAAUUUUUCUUUUGACCAUGAGCUUCAGUAUAAACCCUUUGUUCUGAUGUUCUAUAUAUUAGUUUCUUUUGUUAUGGAAGGAGGACAAUAAUUGAACACAAAAACCUAACAUUCAAGUUCUUAUAACUUGCCUCCAACUUUGGACAACUCCUUACAAUGCCAAACAGAGAUUCAUCCGUGAUAAAUGUACCACCAACAUUAAGAUGUUGUAAAUACCUAGUUCUGGUUAUCUGUUGUUAGAAGCAAAGGGAAAUAAAAACAAAACAACACAUUAAUUGACAAUGUAUUGAUUUUUUCUUGGAAUGUGUCCUAAUUUAGGUUUGAGGACAAAUUUUGUGGCUAUCAACUGAAAUCCAAAUAGCUAUUAGUCAAACUAAAAACAGAAAAUAACAAUUCCUUAACCUGACAAAUGUCAGAAUACUAUCUGCACAAUCUAGUCAUGAUAAACUCCCAAAACUAAUCUAAUUUCAUUCCAACUGCAAUAGUCUGCACAAAAUGAUUAUAUGUUGGAAUGGCAAGUGAGACACACAUUGAAUUGAAAAGAUCAAUCAAAAGAAUGACCCAUAUUUAUAAUAUUUUAAAAUUUUGGGUUGGAUUUAAUUUCAAGUUUACUCGUAUAAGAUGAUAAUAGAGAUUUUCAGGGAGCUGAAAACAAGUAUUGUGAUUUAAUCCCCUUCUAUUUUCUAACAUCAUUCCAUGUAAUAUGUCCCAAACCCAAGCAUGUGAGUUACAAAAUCAAAACAAUAGCAUACCAGUUGGUAAAUCAUCCAAAGGUUGUCAUGAAACAAUUAUCCCAAACGCUUAAGCAGUUAGUGAAGGCACAUGAAUCUCAUACACUUUUUACGCAAGAGCUCUUUGGGCUUAAAAGGUUUGUGUUUCAAUUGAAAAUUUACUAAGAAAAUUGGGUGCAAUAAGGAUCAAACUUUGGACUACUUGGUCAUAGAAGCUUUGAUACAUAUGAAAAACCUUUAUAUCCAACAAGUUUAACACAGUUUAAUGAAAUAAAUGUUCAUCCUGAAUAUUCAAUGAAUNNNNNNNNNNNNNNNNNNNNNNNNNNNNNNNNNNNNNNNNNNNNNNNNNNNNNNNNNNNNNNNNNNNNNNNNNNNNNNNNNNNNNNNNNNNNNNNNNNNNNNNNNNNNNNNNNNNNNNNNNNNNNNNNNNNNNNNNNNNNNNNNNNNNNNNNNNNNNNNNNNNNNNNNNNNNNNNNNNNNNNNNNNNNNNNNNNNNNNNNNNNNNNNNNNNNNNNNNNNNNNNNNNNNNNNNNNNNNNNNNNNNNNNNNNNNNNNNNNNNNNNNNUGAAUUGGAAUGAUUUUGUAUCACCAAUAUAAAUGAUGCAGUUCAACAAUUAAUUGUUUUUAUGUUUAUUUUUACUUCACUUUUACCACUUCAUAUCAAAAGCAAUUGAGUUGAUAGGCUUAAACUUAAAUGAAAAGAAACCUAAUUUUGUAUCACCAAUAUAAAUGAUGCAGUUCAACAAUUAAUUUCUUUUUUUUUUGUUUAUCUUUACUUCACUUUUACCACUUCUUAUCAAAGCAAUUGAGUUGAUAAGCUUAAACAGUUAAACGAAAAGAAACCUAAGGACACUUUUGGCAGUAUAUUGGGCUCUAUUUUUAAUCUUCUAAAAUAAUGGUUUCAAAUAAGAAUGUGUUGCUUAUGACUUUGUCUUGUGAAACUCAUGGCUAUUUGUUUAGUUUUAACUUAUUAUGUUGACCAUUACUCGUCGUUUAUAUGAUAUAUUUCAAGCUAACUUUUACCACUUCUUAUCAAUGCAAUAGCAUGAUGUAGAAACUAGAAAGCAUGAUGUGUGGCUACAUGCAUAGCUUCCUCUACAUGGCCAAAGUAUGAGGUGCCAGAUGUUAGCCUUUCAACCCNNNNNNNNNNNNNNNNNNNNNNNNNNNNNNNNNNNNNNNNNNNNNNNNNNNNNNNNNNNNNNNNNNNNNNNNNNNNNNNNNNNNNNNNNNNNNNNNNNNNNNNNNNNNNNNNNNNNNNNNNNNNNNNNNNNNNNNNNNNNNNNNNNNNNNNNNNNNNNNNNNNNNNNNNNNUUAAGCUCAAUUAAUCCCCAUGAUCCCUUCAGGAAUAAUGAAGCCUUCCAGAGGAAAGCUUCCUCUUCCCAUCAUUAUCAUCACAACCUGUGUUCUUGUUUUUGUGGCUAUCUUGUAUGCAGAGAGACUCAGUUUCCUCUCUUCCAAGUCCAUUUUCAAGUUCAAACCAUGUCCUAGACAAAUCACCAAACCAAAGUCGAGUAAGUCAGCUUCUCAUAUGCCACAACUAUAUACCUCACCUCAUCUUUGUCUUCUUAUGUUUUUAUCUAUUAUGAGUUUGAUUCUUAUGCAUUUAUAUCUCAUCAUACAAUGAUAGUCCUAGCAGGUGACAAAAAGGCAGAUGAAGAGGUUGUGAUUGUGAAUGCAUCAUCAUGGAUUGAUGACAUGUUUGAUUUUGACCCUGAGGAGUGCAAUGUUGCCAAUGGGAAAUGGGUGUUUAACUCUUCAGUAACGUCUCUCUACUCUGACAUAAGCUGCCCAUAUAUAGAUAGACAGUUUUCUUGUGUCAAGAAUGGGAGGAAUGAUUCUGACUAUCGUCAUUGGGAGUGGCAGCCAGAAGAUUGCACGUGACAGCCAGAAGAUUGCACCUUGCCACGGUAAGUUCCUCACUCCAACUUGCCAAUUGUAAUUGUAGAACUUGCUUUAUGUAUAUAAACAUUUUUAUCAUAUACAUGUAUGAUUAGUUUAUGUAAACUACAUUCCAAAAUGACUAUAUUUUGCAGUUUCAAGCCAAAGCUAGCCCUCAGAAAGCUUCAAGGGAAAAAACUGCUAUUUGUUGGGGAUUCACUGCAAAGAAAUCAGUGGGAGUCUUUUCUCUGCUUGGUAGAAUGGGUCAUAACUCAUAAGCAUAAAUCUAUGAGACUAGCUCAUUCGGUCUUCACUGCCAAGGUAUUGAUAUAUUGAUUGAAAUGAUGGUCAAAUAUGUUUACUCAACUCAAACAGCUAUUAACUAGAACAAAACAUAGAUGCAGUUUUACAUAUGCUUUUGUUGUUGUUUUCCAAUCAGAAUUGGAGUUUCACUUCAAUAGACAGAACUAAGAUGAAGCUUUAAGAAAAGAAAAAAGCCAAAAGAAUACGACUCUAGGGGUAUCUAUUUUCAAUCAAUCAUAUAGCCAAAAGACAGGCAUACCGUUCGCUCGCACUACUCGCACCGUUCGCCUCCGCACGGCUCCGCUCACACCGUUCGUCUCCGCUCGGCUCCGCUCACACCUUCGUUCGCCUCUGUUCGUACCUCCGUUCGCACCACGAUCAUCACCUACAACUUCCUCCUCCUCCGACCACCGUUGCAGCUUCCUCCUCCUCCGACCACCGCUGUAGCUUCCUCUGCACCUUUCUUCACUCCUAUAAGCAAUUUUGGUAUUUCGUGCCCUAACAACACCUGCACUUCCAAAUAACUCCAAAGCUUAAAAAAAACAAAUUUCAAAUUAAAAAAUAUUAAAAAAUAUAGCAUUUGUGUAAAAUUAAAAAUAAAUAUUUAAAUAUCCAUGAUAGUAAAUAUGGAUAUUUUAAUAAUUAAAAAACUAUUUACAAUUUAUGUCUAAAAAUUUAUUUAUGUUUAUAAAAUUAAAGUUAUUUUAAAGAUAUCAUUUUAUUUAAAUUUAAUUAUAUAGCAUAAUUAUAUAGCAUAAUUUUAUUAAUAAUAAUAUUUUGUUAUGUAAUUUUAUUUAGAAUUUUUAUUUGAGCUGAUAUUUUAAAAAGAGUAUUUAAUAAAUUUUAUUUAAAUUUAAGAAAUUACAAAUAUAUUUGAAAUAUAUUUUUUAAAUAGAAAACGAAACCAGUAAUACAACUAAUUAUUUUUUAAACGGAUGAGUACUCAUUAAUAUUCAAAAGUGUGUGUGAUCCUUGUAUAGUUUUUUAAAAUAAAAAUGAAUUAUUAUUAUUAUUAAUAGUAGUAAAAUAAACAAUUACAUUUAGCGACCAAAAGAAAUUCGGUGGCUAAAAAGUGGUAAAAAAUCGGUGGCUAAAAACUAAAUAAAUUUGGUGGCUGAUUCGGUGGCAAAAAUAAACAUUUAUAUUUAGCGACCAAAAGAAAAUCGGUGGCUAAGAAGUAAACAUAAUCGGUGGCUAAUUCGGUGGCAGAAAAAAGCAAUAAAAUUUAGCGACCGAAAUAAAAUCGGUGGCUAAAAAAUAAACAUAUUCGGUCGCUAAUUCGGUUGCAAAUAUAUUUUUCCCAAUUUAUUCGAAACAACCACCACUUUAGCGACCAAUGGUUUUGUCACUCUCAUAUUCGGUUGCGGAUUCGGUCGCAAAACUAACUAACAUGAUAAAUAAUUCAGUCGGUCGCUAUUUCGGUCGCAGAUCUGACACUACGGGUAUUUGGUGGCUAUUUCGGUUGCAAAUUGCGAUCACUAAUUUUCGGUCGCUAAAUUCGGUGACUAAAUUGUUAUUUCCUUGUAGUGAAUAUUUACAUCAAUUCAAGCCAUUUUGUCUUGUAAGUUAUCGAUCAAGAUUCAGGGAGAUAAUUGUUUCAAUAGCUAAGGCGUACGUUGUCACUGCUUAUAUUAGUAACAUGUUUAAUUUACCAAUACCUUGUGCCCUCAGAAUGAUGGGGCAACGUGGGAAGCUUAUGAAGGUACUACUAGGAUUAUAAUAUUUUAAGCACCAAAAAAAUAGUUAAGUUUUGUUUACAAAAUAACUUUUUUUCAGUCAGUACACUGUUAUGAAAUUGAUAGAGCAAUACACAAAGCAAUAAACAAUACUCACAAUUUUAAGAUGCAAUUUUGAACUUCUAAAUUUUAGGACAACUACAUAUCCUCUGGUAUUGUUGUCGGAUUGGUUUUCAAUGACUUGGAAGGUUGUGACAUACAUACCCUGGAAAAUGAAUUUUGACAUGUUAUGUUAUGAUGUUUGAUUAUAAACUGUUUAUAAACAAAGGCUAAUGAGUAAUGACAUUCCUAUUGAGUUACAUUUAUCUGCAUAAAUCAUCUUCUUUAUAUACCUUAUAGUUUCAGUUCCAAUGUGUAAUAGUUUUAUAUGGGCCAAACUGUAUAGAUCCUUUCUAUGGUCCAACACAAUAUUCUGGUCCCUCACUUCAACAUUUUAUGUUCUGUUUGCAGUUGCAACUACAUUCAUUAUGAUGUGACUUCAUCAUUCCCCCACCUUGGGCAUUCAAGCAUAGUUAAAGCUACACGAGAGCUUUUUAUGCAGAUUGAAGGAAAUCCUGAAUUUUUCUGAUAUAAAGUUACACUUGUAAGUUUCUUGAUAUCUCCAUGUUACCUCUUCAAAAACAAAGGAUGAACUUGGUGAUGUAUAGGGAGUAGAAAGGAAAAGUGGGAGUAAAAUAGUCACACUAAUAUCUUUGAAACCAUGACAAACUUAUCACAAGAAACCAGAUAUGAUAACAGUGAAAUGCUUGUCUGCAGAGGAAGGCAAAACCUUGGGUGAACCUUCCUACACCAUGAUUUUUUAUAUGGUUUUCCCAUGUAUAUUAUUAACCUGUAUAUAGAAACAAUACAAAUUAACUAGCCAUUAUUGCCUGGUUAAAGAAUUAGAUCCACAAAGUAUUAAAACUUGGUAAAGAAAUUAAUCAGUAGAAUUAGAUCCACAUCUAUGAAACCAAAAUUUGAUUAAAUUUUAAUAUCUUUUUUUCCAUUAUAUGCUAACAAAUAUCUACUAACUUUAUUGAGAAUUAAUAUUCAUAAAAAUGGAUUAAUUAUACGUUUUAUAAUGUUGAUAAUAAGUGGUUCUUGGGUAUAUAUGUUUCUUGAUUGCUAAUAAAAAAAAUACGUGAAGUAUAAGUUUAUAAUCGUACACUAGUAUUUUAGUAGACUUGAGAAGUCAAAUUUGUGAAUUCCAUAAUACUAAACUCUCCAUCACAGGACAUUUCUCAUACAUUUAUUAUAAUAUAUUAAUAUUGUAAUAUAUUAUAUAUUGACGUUUGGUUCUUAAUUUGUUUGACAUUUUAAUUGGUAUCAUUCAGUCGAUCUUGGGAGGAGUGUCUUUUGGGAUAUGAAGAAUCGUCUUCCUCGAAGCAUCUCAACAUUGGAGUGGGAGAACAGCUUUGUUUAUGUUUACAGCAAGGAUAAUCCAAACUUGCUUUUCAGCAUGUGAGUGUUGAUUAUUUUCAGCAAUACCAAUUCCUUUUUAUCUUUCCCUUUUUUCAUUGCAUUCAAGCCUUUAAGAAUAUUUAACUGGCCUUGGGUGUCUAAUUUAUCAUGAUUAUGGUUGAAAAUAUAGUUUUAAUUGGUGAGUGAAGCUGAAUUGUGGAUAGUCUGUGAAGAGGUCACCAUUGGUUUCCCAUGGUCUUUGUUUGUUUUCAGGGUUUAUGACCUAUUUUCGAGAGGCAACUGUGCAUACCCAAGAGCUUCUAGAUUUGCUAGUUAAAUGUGAAAAUAAAAUUCAGACUCGUAUUAAGAUUGGGCUCAACACAAAGACGCCUAGCAGGUAAUUAAUUCUUUUUUUUAUGGUAGGUAUAUUAGUUGUUUCUUAAUAUUUUAUUCAUAAAUACUAGGUUUUAAUGUUCAAAUCUAUGCUCCACUGUAUCUUUUAUCAGGUUCUCACCUAUCAUUUUCUACACUCCUAAAGAAAUAGGAGGGCUUGGAUUGUUGUCCAUGGGUCACAUUUUGAUUCCACAAAGUGAUCUUCGAUACCGUCAGCAAACAGAUGUUGGAGUAACCCACUUCAAGAGUGGAAUGAGUCACGAGGAGGACCAACUGAUUCCCAACCUUUAUCGUUAUAUACAGGUGAACCUUAAUUAUCUUCCUCUUAUAUGUACUAAUAUGUAUGCAUUUGCCUUGUCAUGUGGUUUAUUAAGAGUCAUAUAUUAAAAUAAACUUUAUCUUUAUGUUCUCUUGGAUCAUGCUGCCUUGGGAGAGCAAGUUCAUUGAUUCAUAGCGUGUCUGAGCUAAUAUGCAUUGAAAAGACAGGAAGCACAGGCACAAAAUUGACGUUUGACCCUGGAAGAUCUGGAAGUGAGUUUCUGUUGACUUUUUAUUGACCUUAAUAUUUGUGUUUAGGUAGUUGUUGUGACUCUGGAUAAUGCAGUGGUAAUGUGCAUGUGUUUUUCUUUGAGACAAAUCUACUUAUUUCCCUACUAAGUUAUGUUAAUCUGUUCUGCAGGAUUCAUGGGAGAGGUAUAUCGCGUAUUAACACUCUGUUUCAAAAGGAUAGGCACACUUUGGCUUAUGAUAAAGGAUGGAGAGUGCGUACUGAUUUCAAGCAGCACCAAGUUCUGAAACAAAACCCCUUCUAGUGGACACAUCAGAUGCACGAUGGGAAAUUGUGGAACUUGAACAAUUACUGAAAUGAUGUUAAUUGAACUUUUUAACAAUUAUGUGUUGUAAUUUUAAACUUGAUUAGAGAUGUAUGUAGUUUUUGUGUUUUAAUUUUUAAUUAUAUAUAAACAUUAUUAUGUGUGUUUUAAUUUUCAAUGAAAUGAAUGAUUGAUUAUAACUUUAUACAUUAUUUUAUUUUAUUAUGAAAAAGUGGUGGUUAAAUUUUAUAAUUGUAUAAAACAGAUUAUAAAAACGUGGUGGUUAAAUUUUAUUUAUUCAGAAUUAAAAUUACGUCAGUUAAAAAUGUCACUAUUUACGUAUAUAAUGGUGCCAUACUGUAAAUUGCAACGGUUAUAACUGACACUACUUAUGUAGAUUAUGGUGUCAAAAUCUUUUUCAAUGAAUGUAAAUUACGACAGUUAUAACUGAUAAUACUUACAUAUAAAAACCGUCACUAUUUACACUAUGUUUAAAGUGGCGGGUGUUGCGGCGGGUAACGUAAAACCGCCACAUUAAACUUUGUGGCGGCCAGUUCUAUGGCGGUUUGGGAAACCGCCACAAGUGUAUAUUGUGGCGGUUAUAAACGCCAGUUUAUACGAAAAUAACCGCCACAAUAUACAUUUUUUUUUGUAGUGUAUAUUUUCACAACUACUUAAUAUUCAUAUUCUAAAUAACCAUUUACUUUUUAAAAUAUAUUAAUUUUGUUAAUGACAAUAAUAGAAGUCCUUAUUAAAAAUAAUUUUGUAUAUAAAUAUAUAUAUAUAUAUAAAAUAAUUUAAAAAAAACAUAAAUAAUAUUAAAAUUAACUUAACUAACAAAAUUAAUUUUAAUUAAUAAAUUGGAAAAUAAUGAAAUUAUAUUUAAAUAUAAAAAAUUAUUUUUUUUAUUUCUUUGAAUUUUGCAAUAUUUUUAUUUUAUUUAUAUUAAAACUUUAAUUUAUUUUAAUGAACUAAAAUAUGAACAACAUUAAUAAUUAUUUAUUUCUUUUUUUAUAUAAAGGAUAAAUUUGUAAUCUUACAAUUUAAACCUUUAAAAGUAAUAUAAAAUACUCCUAGAACCAUCAAAUGACUCAUGUAUUUAAUAAACGUUCUUCACACAUUCAGUCUAUCAUACCUUAAUUCAAACAGCCCCAAUUUUUUUCACACUUUCUUCUAAUAUCCUCACAUUUCUACUCACCCGCACCCUCAACUUUCGACUCUCCAAUUCAAUAAAAAAUAUCAAAAAAAUUGAAAAAAUAAGCCAAAUAUAUCAUAUCAUCAAAAGCAGCACCCAGCACUAGACAUUCCACACUCGCCGCAUGGACGCAAAAGAAGAAAAUUAGAUUCCUCUUCAAGUGGCGCUAAGUGCGAGUCAAGUGGUGCUCAUCCUAGGGCAACACAAAAUCCUCGGUGUUGAGCUUGAUCUAAGUAGCUAUCAGUGCAAUUUAACUUUUAAAAUUCUCAUAUUCGAUAUUUUUUAUAAACUUUUUCAUGGAUUUCCCUCUUACUUACUUGGUUUAACACAAGUAUUUUCGGUACAAUUUUUAGACAAAAAUAAUAGGGAUUAAUAAUAUAAUUAUAUGAGAGUAACUAAUAUCCAAUUACAUAAAAAAAAUUAUCAAAAGACGACUAAGUAUGUUAAAAGUUAAAGAAGAAUUUACUUUGUUAAUGUAAAAUGACUAAAUAAAAUGAUAAAAAUUAACAUUAUUAUUAGUUAGCUACUGUGUAACUUUGUAAAAAGAAUUUGGUAUUUUGAAACUUAAUGUUUCUUUUGUUGAGAAUUUUGAAGAUUAGUUUUAAAUUUAAUUAUUUGAUUAUCUAAAUGUUAGCUUAUAAUACUAAAGUGUAGAGUUGUUGGACUCAUAGAGAUGAAAUUGUGAUUUUUGUUUGAGUUAUGGUCUUGGUUGAGUAUAUGUGUUAAUUGGAAUGUCGAAAUUUGAUUUUUUAUAUAUUCUAGGGGUUGAAUAGCUGAGUUUUUUUAAUGUUGUUUUUUAUGUAUUCGCUUAGCGUAUUAAAAUUCACAAAGCAAUUACAAGGAAAUGAACAUGAGAGCACGAGAGUCCAAUUGUAUUACUUUCGGACAAAAAAAAUUAGACAGUAUUUUCUAUGAGAAGUUCACUAAGUAAAUUUGAACCUGUUCAGUGGAUUGAAAUCUGUUUGCAGAUUUCUUAAAAAAAAAUUGUUUAAUUAUUUAAUCCUACCAUUAAAAAAGUUGUAUGGUAAAAGAUUUUAAAUUGUUUACAUGUGUUGAAAUAAGCUAAAUAAAAGAGUUAGGUUGUUAACUAUAACUAUCCAAAACUUAAAGCUAGAUAUUUCUGUUAUCAGAAUGUUUUUAAUUCUUUCUGUUUUUAACAGCUAUAAAUAACAUUGUUUGUAUUGUAUCAGUACAGUUUUUCUAAUAAAGAGGUUUCAGUUUCAAUUCCAAUUAUCAAUUAAUUCCCAACGGAUUGGUAUCAAGAGCAUAGGGAGGGGACUUGUGUGGUUUCCUGGCAGUGAGGGUAAGACUGUUGCUGGAACUUUGAGCAGAGAAGGAUCUGUUGUUGUUUUGCAAGCCAAGAAUUGGAGGUUGACUGCUGUAGGUGAUAGCUGUCAUGGCUGCAUUUGGUGUGGUUCCAAGGAGUCUUCCGGUGUUUGAUGGGAAGGAUUAUGAUGAUUGGAUUGUGAAGAUGGAAGUCAUUCUUGGUUUUCAAGAAUUAGAAGAAGCUGUCAAGAUUGGCUUUCAAGAUUCAACCAAGCUUGAAACAGAGGAGCAUAAGAAAAAGUCUGAGAAGCAAUCAAAAGAAAAUAAAAAGAUUGAUUGCAAGGCACAGAUGUUACUGCAUCAGUGUGUCUCAGCUGCUAUUUUCCAGAAAAUCUCAAAAGCUGAAUUUGCCAAGCAUAUUUGGGACAUACUGGAACAAACCUAUGGAAAUAUUUGUAGGGUUAAGAAGGUGAGGCUUCAAUCACUCAGAAAACAAUUUGAAUUGAUGUCCAUGACUGAUCAAGAAUUAGUGUGUGAUUACUUUGGUAAAAUCCAAGCAAAUGCAAAUUCCAUGCGAGGUUGUGAUGAGCAGUUGCCUGAUUCAAAGGUGGUUGAGAAGAUUCUUAGAACUUUGACUCCUGCUUUUGAUCACAUUGUAGUGGCAAUUGAAGAAUCCAAGGAUCUUGAUGAAAUGACAGUAGAAGAACUCCAAAAUUCUCUUGAAGCACAUGAACAAUGGUUACUUUCAAGAAAAGGUAAAGAAAAGGUAGUAGAGCAAGUUUUCCAGGCUCAAACUGCUGGCAAAGGCAGAGGAAGAAGUGGCUGGAAAAAGAAAGGAAGAGGAAGAGAAAGAGGAGGUCAAUCAAGUGACUGGCUUGCUUCAAGCAGUCAGAACCAGAGUCAAAAUAGUGUGCAAAAGCAGAAAUUGGUUGCUGGUAGAGGGAGUCAAGAUCAUGGAUUCAAGAAAUUUCAUGAUAAAAGAAAACUACAAUGUUAUAAUUGUGGAAAGUAUGGUCAUUUUGCAGUUGAAUGUUGGGGAGUUGGUAACAGUAACAACACUGGAAAAAUUUUCAGGAAAGAUGAAGCACAUUUAGCUCAAGAAGAUGAAGAUUCUGAUUUAGAUCAAGUGUUAUUAAUGGCCACUACAAAUCAGGAUGAAGAUGCUUCAAGUUGGUACUUAGACACAGGUUGUUCCAAUCAUAUGACUGGCAACAGGGAGUGGAUUAUUGAUUUUGAUUCUAAUGUCAAAAACAGUGUGAGAUUUGCAGAUAAUAGUAUGAUCUCUGCUGAAGGAAUUGGCAAGGUCAGAUUCACUUGUAAAGAUGGAAAAGUUGGUUGUAUGAAUGAUAUCCUAUAUGUGCCAUCAAUGAAGAAUAAUCUUCUCAGCUUAGGCCAACUACUGGAAAAGGGAUUCAAAAUGUCAAUGGAGCAUAAUUCUAUCAACAUCUAUGAUUAGAAAUCAAGGUUAGUUCUUAAGGCACCUUUGUCUAAAAAUAGGACUUUUAAGACUAACCUUAAUACAUCAACUGCACAAUGCUUGUCUUCAAUUGGGGAUAAGGAGGAAACAAAUCUGGUGUGGCACUACAGAUUUGGUCAUUUGAAUUUCAAGAGUUUGAACCAACUGAGCAGUAAACAAAUGGUCACAGGGUUGCCACCAAUCAACCUAUCUCAUAAGACUUGUGAAUGUUGCCUAUUUGGGAAGCAAUCAAGAAAGAAUUUCAAGAAAUCAGUACUGCAAAGAGCAAAGAAGCCUUUGGAGGUUGUAUAUUCAUAUGUAUGUGGCCCUCAUGAUAACAAUUCACUUGGAGGUAAUAGGUAUUUUCUUACUUUUGUUGAUGAAUUUACCAGAAAAAUCUGGAUUUACCUAUUAAAGGAGAAAGGUGAGGUCUUUGGAAGAUUUGUAAAAUUUUGUGCUAAGGUUGAAAGGCAAUCAGGCUAUGCCUUAACCAUUUUCAGAACUGAUGGAGGUGGAGAAUUCAAUUCCAAAGAGCUGGAAGAAUUUUGUGUUGCAAAAGGAAUUGAACAUGAAGUUACAGCUCCUUACACUCCACAACAUAAUGGAAUUGCAGAGAGAAGAAAUAGAACUUUGCUUGAUAUGGCAAGGUGCAUGCUCAAAGGCAAGGGGCUGCCUCAUAGCUUUUGGGGAGAGGUUGUCACCAUUGCAGCCUAUAUUCUCAAUAGGUGUCCUACAAAAAAAUUGGAGGCAGUUGUACCAAAAACAGUUUGUUCUGGACUUAAACCAACUGUUAGUCAUUUGAAAAUAUUUGGUUCCUUGUGCUAUAGGCAUAUUCCAGAUGAGAAAAGGAAGAAGUUGGAAGAUAAGAGUGAAGCUCUUAUCUUAAUUGGAUAUCAUCCAAUAGGUGCUUACAGGUUGUUCAACCCAGUAAACUAGCAAAUUCUCAUCAGCAGAGAUGUUGUUGUAGAUGAGAAUGCAUCCUGGAAUUGGAGUAAAUCUGUAAAACAGAUUCAUUGUGUUUUAGAAGAAAGUGGACAACAACAAGAUGAAGAACAUGAAAAUAUAGUUGAGCCAGAAUCUAUAAGAUCACAAAGGCAAAGAUUUCCUUCUUCUUGAUUAAUAGGUCAUGAAGUUUACAGUGAUAAUUUGAUCUCUGAUGAAGGAGAGUUGGUUAGCAUUUGUGGCAGACAUUGAGCCAAUCACUUGGAAGGAGGCAAUAGUUGAUAGAAAGUGGAAGAGUGCAGUGAUUGAAGAGCUGGAAUCACUAGAGAGAAAUGAAACCUGGGAAUUAGUGGCUUUGCCAAAGGGGAAAAGACCAAUUGAUGUCAAAUGGGUUUUCAAGAUAAAACUCAAGUCUGAUGGCAGCAUAACCAAGCAUAAAGCAAGAUUAGUUGCUAAGGGUUUUCUGCAGAAACAUGGAAUAUACUACACUGAAUUCUAUGCACCAGUGGCCAGAUUGGAAACCAUUAGAUUGGUGAUUGUUGUGGUCAGUUCUAGAAACUGGAAAAUCUAUCAAAUGGAUCUUAAAUCUGCAUUCUUGAAUGGAAUUUUAGAAUCGGAGGUUUAUGUGACUCAGCCACUAGGUUUUGAAGCAAAGGAUGUCAGCCACAAAGUGUUCAAACUCAAGAAAGCACUUUAUGGACUCAAACAAGCUCCUAGAGUGUGGAAUAAACUGAUAGAUUCGUUUUUGCUCAAGCUAGGCUUCACAAAGUGUUCAGUAGAAUAUGGAGUGUAUGUAAGAGAGUCACAAAGUCAAAGCUUAAUCUAUGUAUGUCUAUAUGUGGAUGAUUUGUUAAUCACAGGGAGCUCAAUGACAGAGAUUGAGCAAUUCAAAAAUAGAUUGAAGGCUGUUUUUGAAAUGAAAGAUUUGGGAAUGCUUAGCUAUUUUCUGGGAAUGGAAUUUGUAUACACAGAUCAAGGUAUUAUCCUGCAUCAAAGGAAGUACAUUAAUGAAGUGCUCAAUAGAUUUAAUAUGGAUCAAUGCAAUGGAGCUAGGGUGCCUGCUGUUGGAAAUUUGAAACUGACACAAAGCUUUCGAGGAGAUUGCAGUAGAUAGUACUUUGUUUAAACAAAUUGUUGGAAGUUUGAGGUUCAUCUGCAACAGCAGGCCUGACAUAAGCUAUGCAGUUGGACUUAGAAGCAGAUUCAUGUGUAAUCCAAGAGCCUCUCAUAUGGCAGCAGCAAAACACAUAUUGAGGUAUCUUAAGGAGACAACAGGGUAUGGCUUACUGUUUCCAGUAAGCUUGAAUGAAUUUGAAGACUGUUUGGAGGCUUGGAGUGAUUCAAAUUGGUGUGGUGAUAAAGUGGGAAGGAAGAGCACCUAUGGAUAUUUCUUUUCAAAUAUCUGAAAGCACCAAUUUCUUGGUGUUCUAAGAAACAAACUAUAGUUGCUCUCUCAUCUUGUGAGGCAGAGUAUAUAGUUGCAGCAAAGGCAACUUGUCAAUGUGUUUGGCUUGAGUCUGUGCUUGAUGAUUUGAAGUUGGAUCAUGUGAAGCCCUGUGCAACUUUGUGUGGACAACCAAUCAGCCAUCAACCUUGCAAAGAAUCCAAUCUCACAAGGGAGGAGUAAACACAUAGAGACCAAGUUCCAUUUCUUAAGGGAACAAGUUGGAAAAGGAAAGCUAAAAGUGAAGCAUUGCAACACAUUGCAACACCAAGAAGCAAGUGGCCGAUAUUUUCACCAAACCACUUAGACUAGACAGAUUUGAAGAACUAAGAUAGUGGUUAGGAGUUAGAAGUGUUGCAGAAUUUAGCUUAAGGAAGAAUGUUGAAAUAAGUUAAAUAAAAGAGUUAGGUUGUUAACUCUAACUAUCCAAAACUUAAAGCUAGAUAUUUCUGUUAUCAGAAUCUUUUUAAUUCAUUUUGUUUUUAACAGCUAUAACUAACAUUGCUUGUAUUGUAUCAGUACAGUUUUUCUAAUGAGGAUGUUUCGGUUUCAAUUCCAAUUAUCAAUUAAUUCCCAACAACAUGUUUAUAAAUAUUAUAUUUUAUGGGAUUUUAUGAUAAGAAGUGAUUGAUUGAGAUGAGUUGUUUAUGAUAUGAAAUGAAAAACUAGUCAUUAUUAUAUUUGAGUGAGUACUAAAUUAUGAUAUUUAAUGAGAUAUUCAAUUUAUAGUGAUAACCUUAUAUAUAGAUGAAAGUUAUGAUAUGAUAAAAGUUAAUAAAGAUUUUUUUAGUAUUUGAUCAAAAGUGAAGUGUUAUCAAUACUCACUGCAAUGCGCGGGAAAUCAUCCUAUUAUAUGAUGUUUAUAAAAAAAAAAAAAUUAUAUCAGAAUAAGUAUAAUUACUAGGUAUAUCAAAUAUUAUAUAUAUAUAUAUUUGUAUGUUUAUUUUAAUUUACUAAUGAUAGUAAAAAAUUGUUAUAGUUUAUAGAAAGUUUUUUAACAACCAAAAAAAUAUAAUAUUUUAUUCUAUUUCAAAGAAUUAUGUAAAAAGAUAGGAAACGUUUUUAAGAAAAAUUAAAUAAAAUAUUUGCUCUAGAUAAAAGAAUUGAUAAGUUUAUUAAAUAAAAUGAAAUAAAAUAAUUUAUCAUAAAAAUAUCUAUCUCUACUUUAAUUUAUUUACUUAUAGGCUCUAGUUCUUCAUAUGAGAAUUAUAAAUGCGAUUUUAAUUCUUAUCAUAUUUUCUAAUAUUGAUUAAAGUUUGAAGCAUGAUAUUUCUCUUCCUCAAUUAUUUUCAAUUCAUCUAAUGAUUAACAAAAAUAAAUAAAAAAUAAAAAAAGAAAAAGACUUAUCAUCUAAUAAAAAAAAAUCUUGAUAUGAUUUCAUAGGUCAUUUGACACUACAAGAAAUCAUGAAAUAGAAACUAAUUUUUAGAGAUAAAAAAUAAUUAGUUGCUAUCAUGACAAAAUUAGAAACCAUUUUAGAGACUAAAAAAAUUUUAGUUUCUAAAUUAGUUUUUAUUAUUAUAAAAUGAUUUCUAAAUUGGUGUCUAAUUAACAAUCAAGGUUUUUGCUAACGGUCUCUAAUUUAGUCACUAUAACAACUAAUUAUUUGUUGUCUCUAAAAAUUGGUUUAUAUUUCAUGAUUUUCUUGUAGUGUGAGCUGGUCUUGUAAAAUCUCUUCAAAAGUCGUUUGAGGUGUCCUUGAAAAGAGUUAGAGUAAAGUCCAUAUCAAUGUUUAUUUGAUAGAUGUCUCAUGAUUUGAAUGCAAUAAAAAUGUGUUUCAUUUCAAAAUAAUUAUACAUAAGUCAUUAUAUAUUUUAAGAUUAGAAACUUUAUAUAUAUAUAUAUAUAUAUAUAUAUAUAUAUAAGUUAGGUANNNNNNNNNNNNNNNNNNNNNNNNNNNNNNNNNNNNNNNNNNNNNNNNNNNNNNNNNNNNNNNNNNNNNNNNNNNNNNNNNNNNNNNNNNNNNNNNNNNNUUAUAUAUAUAUAUAUAUAUAUAUAUAUAUAUAUAUAAAUUUAAGGGGUUAGCGGGAUAUUAUAGGAGGUUUGUUAAUUUUUAAGAUAUUUAAUUUAUUUCACUAGAAAAUAUCAUCGUUUUGCAUGGAUUAAGGAAUGUAAGAAAAGUUUUGAAAAAUCGAAAAGAAGAUUAAUUAAUGUUCUUGUCUUAACAGUCCAUGAUACAAGUCAACCUUUUGAAGUUUCUAUAAUGCUCUAUAUUAAGGAUUGUGAUGUUUUCUUUAUUGCAAAAUUAAUAGGUUCUAAAUUAUCAUAAGUAUUACAUUAAUUUAAGCACAUAAAUUAAAUAAAUUGAAGAGAAAAUAUUAUGAAAUUGAAAUUUUUUUUCACUUAGAAUGAUAAUUAAAAUAAAUUGUAUGAUCUCAUGUUAAACUUGAUGAGAUUUAGCUGGAAAUAGAAACUAAGCUAAAAUGGAGUAUCUGUUUAGCACAAGCAUGAAAAUAUAAGUGGAUUGAUGAUAGAAAAGGCAUGGAAGAAACACCUCCAACCAUUGAGCAUCUAGAGAAGCGCUGAGCGGAUCUAUAUGCCAUAGAAAGUUAAUCAAAUUAUAUGAUCUAUUGAACGAAGGCCAAGAAGCGUAGAGCAUAAAAAAAACCUAAGAACAAGGAAAGUUAAUUUGUUGAGCACAACAAUAGAGCAACUGAGUGCAUAGGAUUCUUUGAGGUGAAGAAAGUCAAUUAGUUGAGUGAUUCUAUUAUGCGUUGAAUGAAAGUUACGCAAAACAAAGUCACUGACUUAACACUAUAAAUAGAAGAUUCCAUGGUAAAAAAAAGGGUGGAAAAAGGAGGAGACAAAAAGAGAGCGAAAUUUAGUUUAAACAUGUUCUUAGUUGCUAGCUACUUGAGCUUUCAUUGCUUUGUAUUCAUCAUUAUGAGUAGCCAAGUUACUUUUAUUGAGAUUGAAAGAUAAUGUAACAUUUAUGCACUUUUUUUACUUAUGAAUGCAUGUAUGUUUCAGUCCAUUUGAUUUGAUUUUAUGUUUAAUGCCGAUAUGUGAGGGAUCACUAUUAUUGUCUUUAUAAAUUGAAUGAUAUUGGGAAAUACUUUCACCUUCUGAAUUAACUCAAAUCAUCCAAAGAUUUUAAUGUUUGGGGAUGAAAUUGAAGUGUUUGGCAUGUAUUGUUCCAUUAAUAUUGCAAAUUCAAACUAUUAUAAGUCAAGGAAUUGAUUAUGAUAGUUUGCUUUUUUAUAAAACAAUGAUUAAGGGAUUAACUUUGUUUGACUUUAGGGAGAAGUGAAUAUCAACUACAUUGCAUUUAUAAUCAUUGAGUGCAAAAGAGUUGCAAAGUUUAUUCAAUCCCAACAUCUUAUCAACUCUGAAUUCUUCUCCUUUUGCACCUAAUUUUAGCUUUAUUAAAGUUAUAAUUCAACCUCUAAUAAAGAUAACCUUUUUACAUAAUUUUGGAUGAUGAGAUGAAUAAAAAUGAUUUAUUCUCAAGUUUGUGUUAGUUUUCGGAAUCUAGGGGAAGAUAGAGAUAAGAGGACUAAAAGAAAAUGGACAAUUUAAAGACAAGAUGAAAAGACAAAGUUGGAACAUUGAAAAAUCGCUCAAGCAAGAUCACUCAAGAGGAACUCACUCAAGGCUCGCUUAAGCGAGUUCACUCUAGUGAAGUUAGGUUUUUUCUCGUGAAACUCACUUAAGCAAGCAAUAUUUUACUUGAGCUCACUUAAAACCAAACCCAAUUAGGUUAAGUAGAAGGCAUGAGACAUAACCCUAAACAUCACGGGAAGUAUAUUCAAAGAUAGAAAAUCCUAGAGGAGACAGCCGCCAAGGAGAAACACCUUAGAUUUUCUUGUUUUUCAUGCUUGUAACACUACAAAAAAAUGUUUAUAUGGUGACGGUUAUAAUAUGGCGGUUAUUAAAAAACGUCACGAUUAUCUGUAUAAUAUGACAACUUCGUAAUCAUCAUAAUUAUUUUCUAAAAUGUGGCAUUUAGAACCACCAUAAUUAUUCUUUGAAAUAAAUGCUCUCCCGCAUUUAGUUCCCUCCGUAUAAUUCUCACAAAAUUCUCAAAAUUUAUUUACUAAAACCUUUGAAAUCCCUCUUCUAUUCGAAACCCUCUCUUCUUCUCUCUGCCACUCAUCGUAUUUUCCUCGCUGCUAUCCGCCUUCUCUCUGCCACAUCCACCAUCUUCUCUUCACAAUUCACCGUUUUCUCUCCGCCACUCACCAUUUUCUCCCUGCCACAUCCACCGCUGGCUUCGUUUGCGCUAGAGUUUUUCGAAACAAACCUGUUUUCUCGCUCUUGUUUCACUUUUCACUCUCCAUCAUCUCUGCAAGUCCCGCGUUCGCUUUCAACAUUUCCGACACUUCCUCAAAUUUUUUAUUUCCCAAAACCCUAUUCUCAUCUUCAUCCCUGAUUCUCCCAAAUUUCUAAAAAUCUUAUGAAAACCUAUUCCCAAAAUCUUUUGUUUCUUUGCCUUUUCCAAUCCCCAAAUUUGAAAAGUACCUUUUUCAAAUUUCAAUUUUGAAAAGUACAUUUUCAAAUUUCAAAACUAACUAAUAUUUUCUUUUAUUUUAUGAUUUAUUUUUUAAACCACAUAUAUGCCACAUAGGUCAUAUAUGCAUAUUUUACAUUCUCCCACUUGGCCAAUGUGGCAGAACUACGUUAAUGAAAAAUAAACCAUAAACAUAAGGUUGAAAUAUCUUAAGCAUUGGUUAUAUCAUUAUAUCAUCAUUAAGUAUAGGCUAAUAUGAGUCUUAGCGGUUUUAUGUCAUUAAAUUGACAUAAUUCCUUCGAAGUAUUACAAUAUUAGUUUUCUACUUAAUAUGACCUAUAAAUGAAAGGCUCAUGAUGGUCCAACAAUAAUGUCUUAGUCACUGACAAAUCCUGUUAUAUCAACAUAACUCAUUAUGUAUAUACAACAAUUAAUUCAAUAAAAUAGGAUGCAUUAAAUAUCAGAAACAAUAAUCUAAUGAGCUUAGAGUGCCAAUACAUAAAGAACAUAAUACUCAAUCAUAAUGUCAAUAAGGGUUUUUAAUUACACCCAUUCUUUCAACAUGCUCAUUAAAUAUCUUUGGUGGCAAACUUUUUGUCAAGGGAUCUACAACCAUAAGAUUGGUGCGAAUGUGUUCAAUUGACAUAUCCAUGUGUUUAACGCCCUUUGAAUACUUGUCGUUUUUAGAAAAAGAAGACUGUUGUGAUAUUAUCACAAUAAAUUUUCAUUGGCUUGGCAAUACUAUCGACAAUUCCAAGUCCUGAAAUAAAGUUUCGUAGCCAUAAUCCCUAAAUAGUGGCCUCAAAACAUGCCACAAACUCAUCCUUCAUAGUGGAUGCAACAUAAUCUGAAUCUGAAUAUCCUAUCACCUCAAGGUGAUAAGAUCUUCUAUAAGUGAGCAUGUAAUUUUUUUGGUUCCUUGCAAUUAUCUCAAUACUUUCUUUGUAGCUUUCCAAUGAUUUAAUCUUGGAUUACUUUGAUACUUGACCAACAUUUCGACAGCAACUGACAUCUGGUAUGGUACAAGUUUUAGCAUACAUCAAGCUGCCAACGACAGAUGCAUAAGGAAUCCAUUCCAUUUCCUUGUGUUCCAACUUAUUAUUUGGACAUUGCAUAAUACUAAACUUAUCCCCUUUCUGAAUUGGAACGACACUUGUAGAGCAUUUUUCCAUCUUAAAUCUCUCAAGAACUUUAUUAAUAUAUGCUUUUUGAGACAAACCUAAUAAUCCUUGUGAUGUAUCACGAAUAAUUUCAAUUCUAAUCACAUAGGAUGCCUCACCCAUAUUUUUCAUUUCAAAGUUUUUGAGAGAAAUUUCUUGGUCUCGUGUAAUAAGCCAACAUCAUUAAUAGCAAGCAAAAUAUCAUCAAUAUACAAAAUUAGAAUUAUAAAUCUGCUCUCACUGACCUUUAGAUAUAUACAUCAAUCAACAAUAUUUUUCGUAAAUCCAAAGGAAGUGAUAGUAUCAUUAAACUUAAGAUACCAUUGUUGGGAAGCUUGUUUAACUCCAUAUAUUGACUUCUUAAGCUUACACACCAUGUGUUUUCCUUUAAUUGCAAAACCUUUAUGUUGAUCCAUAUAGACUUCUUCCUCUAAAUUCCCAUUCAGAAAAGUGUUUUUCACAUCCAUUUGAUGAAGCUCUAAAUCAUAUUGAGCUACCAAUGUCAUGAUAAUUCUAAUUAUCCUUUUCAGAAACUGGAGAAAAUGUCUCUUUGUAAUCAACACCAUCUAUCUAAGUGAAACCUUUAGCAACAAGUCUAGCCUUGUGUCUUUCAACAUUGCCUUUAGAGUCACGCUUGGUCUUAAAGACCCACUUACACCUAACUCUUUUACAUCCUUCGGGAAAUUCAACAAGAUCCCAAACUUCAUUAUGAUCCAUUGAUUUCAACUAUUCUUUCAUGACAUCUAACCACUUAAUAGAAUUACUGCUUUCAUGGCUUGUGAAAAUGAAACUGGAUCUUCAUCAAUACCUAAGUCAAAAUCUGACUCUUGUAAAUAAACCACAUAAUCAUCAGAAAUAGCAGGUUUUCUCUGCUUUCAGAUCUUCUUAAUACUGUCCCAUAUGGUUCAUUUAUUACAGGAUCAUUGGUGACAACUUCAUUUUGGGGUGUUUCAUCAUUUAUUUUUUGUUCUUGUAUGUUGCCAAAAGUUUCAACAACUGUGGGAACAACAACCUGAGUAGACGUUUUAGGUAAAGGAAUCUCCACCCUAACUUCUUCAAUUUCCACCUUACGUGGUUCGAGACUCCCACUAAUUUCACCAUUUUCAACGAACCUUGCAUUUCCAGUUUCAACAAUUCUCGUACUAUGGUCAGGACAAUAAAAUUUAUACCCUUUAGAUUUUUUUGGAUAACCAAUGAAAAAACCAUUAGUUGUUCUUGAAUCCAGUUUCUUUUCUUGUGGAUUAUAUAUUUUUACUUCUGAUGGGCAACCCCAAACAUGCAAGUGUCUCAAACUGGGUUUCCUUCCUGUCCACAGUUCAAAAGGUGUCUUUGAAACUGCCUUAUUGGGAACCCUGUUUAACAAAUACAUGGCGGUUUUCAAAGCAUACAUCCACAAUGACAAGGGUAAAGAAGAAUAAAUCAACAUACUCCUACCAUAUCCAUUAAAGUACGACUGUGCCUUUUUGCAACACCAUUUUGUUGUGGUGUGCCUGGCAUUGUAUAUUGGGCACAUAUGCCAUAGUUUUCUAGGAACUUAGCAAAUGGACCAGGAUGUUGUCCCAUUUCAUCAUACCUUCCAUAGUAUUCUCCUCCUCUAUCAGACCUGACAAUUUUCACUUUUCUAUCUAAUUGUCUUUCAACCUCAUUAAUAAAUACCUCUAAGGUAUCUACUGACUGAGAUUUCUCAUGCAACAAAUAGAUAUAUUCAUAACGUGAAAAAUCAUCAAUGAAUGCGAUAAAAUACUUUUCUCCACCAAAAGAUGAAGCAUCAAAAGAUCCACAUAUAUCAGUGUGUAUAAGUUCAAGGAGGUGUGAGCUUUUUGUGGCUGUUUUCUUAAUUGUGUGUUUUGUAUGUUUUCCCUUAAUACAAUCUACACAAAUACCAAUAUCAUUAAAAUUGAAACCAGGUAGGAUUUCAUUCUUUACCAAUCAUUGUAUUCUUUCUUUGGAUGCCACAAAUAAGCUGAACUUUCAUUCACUAAAUCGCGUUUAGUACCAAUAUUAUGAUGCAAGGUUAAUAGAGUCUCAACGAACGGAUUAUCAAGUUUUAAUUUGUAUAAACCAUCACCAAGAACACCAUAACCAAUAAAAUGAUUAUGUUUAAACAAACUGCAACAUCCAUUUCCAAACUUAAAAGAAUAUCCAGUUGUAUCAAGUUUAAACAAAGAAAUUAAAUUUCUAGAAUUGAAGGAACAUAAAGAGUUUGGAAAAGAUCUAAAUGAUGUCUAGUAUCUAAAAUUAAAUGGUAAGUUCCAAUGGCUUCAACUGAAGCUUUGACUCGAUUUUCCAUAAACACAAAUCUUUCAUUUGGGCUUGUGGUUUAGGUCAUAAUAAAUCCCUGCAUCGUAUUAGAAACAUGAGUGGUACAACCAGAAUCAAUCCACCAAGUAUUAUAAGGAACUUCUGCCAAAUUUGAUUCGAAACAUACGAAAGCACUAGGCUUACCUUUCUUUUUGAACCAUAUCUUACAUUUCAGACAAUUUUUCUUAUAGUGUCCAAUUUUCAUACCAAAAUGACCCACGUCCUUCUUUUGUUCUUUGUGGAUUUUGGCUGAUGACUCAUUAACCUUUAACGGUCCUUUAUAGCCCCCUUUGAUUCUUCUUUCUUCUUUCCUAGUUUCUUCUUAUCUCCUGACUUACCCACAAUAUUGACCAAGUGAUUUCCUUACUUCUUGAGUCUUUCUUCCUCUUGAAUAAGUAAACUUUGCAAUUAUGUCACAUUCCAUUUAUCUUUAAUAGUGUUGUAAUUAUUUGGAAUGGACCAUACUGAGGAGGCAAAGAAUUCAUGAUGAAUUGUACAAAGAAAUUUUCAUUCACUUCCAAUCCCAUAGAUUUCAAUCUUGCUGCUAUGUUUUUCAUUUCAGUGAGGUACUCAUGCAUUGUACGACCACCAUCAAACUUCAUGGUAGUUAACGUACCCAAUAAUGUCCCAGCAAUUGACUUAUCAGACUCAAACAUACUUUGAGAAAACAACACUAACAAUAAUAAAAUUUACAUAGUAUGACUCCAAUUUGAUGUCAUUGUUUGCAAUAACAAAGUAUAAUUCUUUAUGCUUCCACUUCUAUAAUUGUACUUUAACAUUUAGUGUUAUUAUAUAUAACUCAUUCAAACUAUACUAUUGAAGAAUAAUUUAUUACUUUUAUAUCUAUGAAAUCAAAUCAAUCUUGAAUCAUCAUAAAGAAGAAUAAUCUACAUUUCAAAUGCAAUAAAUUAUUAAAGCAAACCCUUAAAGGCAUUAAGCAGCGGAAAUAUAUAAUUGAUAAAAUUAUCAAUUUUCUCAUCAACAAAAUUAAGGUUAUCAAUUAGUGGAAAUAAAUGACAAAAAAUAAUGGAAAAUCAUAUGUUCUUAAACCUAGCUCUGAUACCACAUGUAAGAAUUUUCUUAAAAACUGUUUGAUCUUAGAACUAUAUGAUUUUCACAAUUUCAUAAAUAUAAAUAUGCACCUUGAUCCAUGUAGAUUUGUUCUUCAAUAUGUUGACAAUAGAUGAUCACAAAAUUGGUUUUCUUCUUCUUGACUCUUUUCUCACUUCUACAAAACUUUCUGAUGGAGAAGAAAGUCUCUCACGUUCUUGGUUGAAGGAGGACUUCUUUUAAAAAAAACUCUUAUCAGCACAUACCAUCAAUGUGCCUAAAAUAUAAAUUUCAAAACUACAUUUUUCAAAUUUCAAAUUUGAAAAGUACCUUUUUAAAUUUCAAAAUAUGAAAAGUACCUUUUCAAAUUUCAAAACUAACUAAUAUUUUUUAUUUAUUUUAUGAUUUAUUUUUUAAAUCACAUACAUGACACAUGACACAUAGGUCAUAUAUGCAUAUUUUACCUUGAAAGUUUUGUACAUGAGUGGUGUGAAUUGAACCAAUCUAACAUGCUCUAAUUAACAGAGCAACAACCAAAGGUUUAUAUUAUUAUAUUAUAAUUAUGACUUGAUGUUUAGUUAAUUAUCUAACUAUGAUGACCACGCUUAUUUAUGACUUCACAUAACUGGUCGGUUGUAGUUAGUUAUGAUUUUUGCCUUGUAUCAUAAUGUAUUGUUUAGUUAAUUCAAAUAAAUUAUGCAUAAGUUAGUACUUAUAACUAAUAUGUAAAUUCCUGCUUGCUAUUAUUUGAAUAUCUCAAGUUUCAUGAAUUCUUAAAGCUAGAAAAUGAAAUUGGAAAUAUUACGAGACAAGAAGCUGCGAGCAUUGUGGGCUAAUUUACAUUUUGUCUAUCAUUAUUCAUGAUCGUAAAAAAGGACCAGCUUUUGUUCUAAAUAGCGGUAUGACUUAGUGCAUGUAUUUUACUUUAUAAGCUUACCUUUCAAGAAUUUAAAUUGUGCAAGUAUUUCAUAUUUAAUCCUAAUGGUUUCUUUAACUUUCUUUUUUGUUAUUCUUGAGUUGCUAAUUACCACACGAUGUAGUUUAUCAUGAAGGUGUGCCGAAACAUUUUACUAAUUACCACACGUGCCAACUUUUUGCUUCAUUUAUAUUUUAAAAAUUGAAAAUUAACUCUAGAAAUAUUUUUAUUUAUUCAGACAUUGGAUGUUGGAAGUGGUGCUCUAUCACCAAACGAGAAUAUUAAAGGAUCAAGUGGAGGCAUCAAGACAAAUUAGGACUACGACUUCACUUGUAAUAUGUUAAAAUAAUGAAAUAAUUGAUAUUUUGACAAUUUAAUUUACUUGUAGUUUGGAUUAGUUUAACAUUAUCAACUUUGUUAUCUAAAUGAAUAAAUGAAGUGAUCUUUUGAUUAUUAUAUUUAUCAAUUUUAAUUACAUUAUGAAGUUUAAUUAUAUUAUAUUUAUGUUAUGAUUUAGUUAUAUUAUGAAAUUUAAUUGUAUACUGGAAUUUAAGUAUAAUAUGAAAUUAAAUUAUAUUAUAAAUUUAAAUUAUAAAACAUAAUUGAAUAAAUUAUUAAAAAUUAUAAAAAUAAAAAUAAAUAAAUAUUUCAUUCUUGAAUUACAACCGUUGUAAUAGUUAUUAUCAAUGUCAUAUUAUAAUGUAUUAAGUGGCAUUUAAAACUGCCGUUAUUUACACUAAAAUUGGUUUACCCAAAUUCAAAAUUGUGACAUUUAUAACUAACAAUAUUACGUGCUUAAAACCGUAUUUUAUAUAAUGUAUUAUAUGGCGUCUGCUACAACAGUUCUCAAUUGACCAUCACAUUAAACUUUGUGGCAGCAAGAAUUCUGGCGGUACGCGGUAGGCGGUACCGCCACACGCGUAUAAUGUGGCGGUUAUAAAAGCCAGGUUAUACAAAAAUAACCGUCACCACAUACACAUUUUUUUGUAGUGUAAUGACCAAUAUGAGUGACUAAGUGUUCCCUUUGAGAUUGGAAGUAAUUUGUUCAAACUCUUAUGUAUUUAGGUGAUAUUUUUUUUAUAAUAUUUUAUUCUUGAUUGAUGAUUGAUAUUAUCAUUUUAUUCUUAAAGUUUGAAUCUUUAUCCAUGAUUUUGAUCCUUAGAUUUGACUGAAAAGUACUUCUAAAUAUCUGACCUGAAUGAUAAUGUUUAACAUAUUUGAAUGCUAGGAAUUUAUUUGAAAUGUUAAUUGCUUUAUAACAUUUGUUCGUAAUGAUAAGACGUUUUUAUAAAUAUGCGAGAAAUCAAUAUUUAGGAAACAAUCUUAAUAAUUUUGUAUGUGAGGAAUCAAUAUGAAUUAUUUUUAUAUGUGCAUCAAUGUCAGUCAAGAUAGAAUGUUAUAUGUUUUUAUUCAUUGAAAAUACAAACGAGUAAGAAGGAUUAACCACAAUCUCAAUUGAAUCAUCCAAAUCAUUUACUUUGUUUUUAUUUAAUUUCUUACAAAUUCAUAAAUUCAUGAUUUGGCCCAUUCACAAAGGUAGAUGCUUCCUCUAGAUAAUUUACUCUAAAAACACAAAAUUAACAAUAAUAAUAGUUAAGGCCCAUUUGAUAUCCGUCGAAAAAUUUAUUACAUCUGACUCGGUACAGUUGUCGAAUUAAAGAGUCAUUAAGCUUUUAAAUUACUGUGAGUGUGAAUAAAUAUAUGCUCAUCAGAAAUCAAAUAUUAUUGCAGAUGCUUUGAGUCACAAGAAGAUACAUGUGUCAUCAGUUAUGGUUAGAGAGUUUGAGUUAAUUGAGAAAUUCAACAAUUUGAAUUUGAAGGUUUCUAUAUCUUCAUUAUAUUAGAUACAAUAUGCUUGUUAUAACUAAUGAGUUCUUAGAAAAAGUGAGAGUGAAGCAGAAUAAAAGCUUCUCUACGGGAGUGAGGGAUAUCUUAAGAUUUAGAAACAAAAUAUAUGUUCUAAAGGAUGAUGAAUUUAGGGGUGACAAUGCGAGACGACUAUAGUAGUGAAUGUUUAAUAGAGUCAUUUGAAAUACGUUUGUAGAUAUUUCUUGAUGAAUAUCCUUUGAUGUAUAGAUAUCGUUAUGUAUGUUUAUGUUUAAUAGAAUUGAAUUCAUUGUGAAUUGAUAAUUAAAAUAUUUUCUUUUAUAUACAUUUAUUUUAUGUUAAAAAUUUAUUUUAAUAAUUUACCUUUGUAUAUAUUGUUUGUAUAGUGAUUUAUUAUGAAUAUACUGUAUAUACAAAAAAAAAUAUAUAAGUAUAAUUUUAGAGUCGUAUCUCAAAAAGACUGAAGAAAAAUCUAAAUUAUGUUUUUGAAAAAAUAUAAAACAUAAAUAUAUGUACAUAUAUUUUAUUAUAUUUAAUUAUAUAUAUAUAUAUAUAUAUAUUGUUAUAUUUAAAUUUCUUUUGAAAUACUAUAUGUUUUGUAAAAAUCCUCCCUAUACUCUCUGUUGGAACUAUACUAAAUUACAUAAUUUUGUAAACAUUUUAAAUGACAAUGUAUUAAAAACAUUUUAAAUGUUAUGUAUCUAUACACUACAAGAAAAACUUGAUUUAGCUUUCAAAUUUUUGCGUGGGCCAUUUGCGGACGCUACUCUCGUCGGCCAAAAUGAGUAAAAUUCCACGCAAGAUUUACAAUGGACGCAAAACGGACGCAUAUAUUGAUUUAAUUUUUUUUUUUUUGCGUCGGCCGCGACCCACGCAUAGGCGUCGAUUUUGCAUCGGCCGCGGCCCACGCAUAUGCGUCCGUUUUGCGUUGCCCACAGAAUCCACGCAUAUGCGUCCGCUAUAGCCCACGCAUGUUUAGAAUUUUAAAAUUUACAUAUUUUUAAUGUAUAAUAAAUAUUUUAAUAUUUAAUUCUUUAUUAUAUUUAUUUUAGAAUUAUUUAUUUAAUGUUAUAAUAAAUUAUUUAAUUUAUCAAUUUUGAAUAUAAAUUAAUUAAAUUAGAUUUAUUAAAUUAAAUAAGUGCUUGAUUUAAAAUUAAUUGAGUAAAAUAAAAUAUAUAUUUAAAUUAUUUAAAUGUUAUAUAAAAUAUUUGUUUAUUUUAAAUAUUAUUUAUUUUAAAUUUAUUUUAUUUAUAUAUUGUCAUAACUAUUUUAUUUUUGAAAUUAUGAUAUAAAUUAGUUAAAUUAAAUUUAUUAAAUUGAUGAUAAUAAUAUUAAAUUUAUUAAAUAUUAAUAUUAAUACUAAUAAUAUUAAAUUUAUUAAAUAUUAAUAUUAAUACUAAUAAUAUUAAUAAUAUGUAUAAUAUGUAUAAUAAUAUUAAUAAUAAUGUUAAUUAUAAUAUUAAUUAUAAUGUUAAUUAUAAUAUUAAUUAUAAUGUUAAUAAUAAUGUUAAUAAUAAUAUUAAUAAUAAUGUUAAUAAUAAUUUAAUAAUAAUGUUAAUAAUAAUUUAAUAAUAUGAGUAUAAUUUAUUUUAUUAUUAUUAAUAAUAAUUAUAUUAAUAUGUAUAAAUUAUAUUAAUAAUAAGUAUAAUAAAAAUGAUAAUAUGACCAAAGAAGUUGUCUGGUUUAGUGGUUAAUGCUUCCGUGCUUACUGCAUGUCUCUUUAUCGUUCGACAGUUUUAUGUCGGGCGUCCUUUUGGCGCUCAAUGUCGCUCCUACCCAACUUCACCCAAACACUUGGACGUCUGAGUGUUAAUUGCAGAUUUCUAGGGAGGAUUGAAGAUUUGGAGUAAAGGAGAAUAAUUUGAGCUAAAAAGAGAAAGCUGGAAGGUCCCAAAAUGGGAAAAGAUUGAGCCUUUUUUUAUGUUUUAUCACUUAGCCCAUUAGCACGACACAUGAAGCAACCUAGCCCUAGAAAAUUAGGAUAAAUAGGGGGCUAGAGGCUCAACCCUAGUGUCUCAGAUUGAGACGAAAAUACCAUAGAGUGAAUUGUAACCCAAUUGGGAGAAUGAAAGGUGUUAGAAGUAUGCGUGACUAUUCUACCCUUUGGGAUUGGGAGUAAUCUGCUCAAACUAUUAAGUAUUGAGGUGAUAUCUUAUAUAUUAAUAUUCAGUUCUUGAUUGAUUAUUGGUAUUGUUGUUUUAGUUUUAACUUUCCGUGACAAAUAGAGAAUCCUAAAUCUGACCGGGAGGUAUUUUUAGGGUUUGGACCUAAACAACAAUACUUAACAUAUUUCAGUGCCAGGAAUAGACUUGAAAUGUUAAUUGCUAUUAACGUCUGAGCUUCGUUCUAAGUUUUUCUUAUAAUUAUGUGAGGGAUCGAUAGUUAGGGAACAUUCUUAAGGAUUUUAUAUGCGAGGAAUCGAUAUAAAUGAUUUUUAUACGGGCAUCAAUUUCAAUCAAAAACUUAAUAUUGACAUGCUAAUCAAAAUACAUGAGAGUGAGAGAGAUGAAACCUAAUCCCUAUUUUUCCAACUUGAAGCAACCAACUCUUUGUCUGUUUUCUUAUUGAUCAUCGCCAACACAACCACUUUCAAUACACUUUUAAUUGUUUUGUUCUAUAUUUAGCGAUUAUUGUACUUGAUAAUUCAUUGUUCCUUGUAGGAUCGAUAUCCGUCCUUAGGGACAAUUAUUACUUUUGACAAAGUAGUGCACUUGCCAUAAAAAGUCAUCAGCGUCCAUUCAGGCCUUCUUCCUGAUAUGCGACAUUUUUCGGCUCUGACCUACUCCUUCUUGUUUUCUAUGUCAUUAUGUGUCUCAUCCGACCGAACCAAUCAUAUUGCAUUCGUUGGUAAGUCGGUCGGGGAAUGUUUUGUUUAACGCCUUCACCACCUCCUAAAAGAAUUUCAAGGAAAAGUUCAAGGUUGUCAUUCAUCAGGAGAGCACCUCAUAUUAUUUUAAUCGAAAUGACCUUUCGAGGUUUCCUAUGUUUUUUACUAGGAAACCUCGGAAGUUUAAAGAGUGGCCUCGCUCAGAUUCGACUGCCGAGGAGAAGGAGAUUCUUUUUCUCUUUGACAAGCUUCCCCGGAAACUUCCCACACGGAAGUUGAUUGCGCUGUACGGGGAAACACAACGUUGGGCGACCUUUAAGGGUAUGAUAGUUUUCACUAGUCUCGGUCGGAUAUUUUGUUUUCAACUGACACCUUUGUACUCUUGUGCAGAAAUAAUGACUAAGGAAUUUCCUUCAUCCGGCGACAUGUUAGACUUCUUCAAGAUAUGGGCCGCAGAGCGUAAAGGUCGGUCGUGCAUAGAGGUCGUGGCUCCUGGGAAGGAGGUGGUUGCUGGUGCUGACCCUUCUAGGAAAAGACUAAGGGAGGGAGGUAAUACAGUCAGGACUAAUUGGUCUUCUGGCUCAUUGCCAGUGCCCCCUCCUCGACGUGGCGGUCCUAUUAAUGUCGACUCUCCGUCACUAGGGGAGCUCGACCAGCCCCUGCCUCUUCCCGCUGCCGAGGCCAUUCAAGUAUCACCCCUAUCGAUGUUGGGGGUGACUUGUAGUGUGCACGGGGAGUGCAGGUUGGCUUGACUGCCCCUACCAAGGAGCUCCUCCGUGUCGUGCCUACCGACGAUUGUCUACGCAGCGGUGUCUCGGCUUGAGCAUCAACUGGCUGAGGCUAUGGGUAACUUGAAGCAGUCCCUCGCGGUCAAUACUGAGUAUUCAGAAAAGUUGGCCCCAGAGGCUGCUGAAAGGGAGAUUGCCCAGGAUCGGGCGGCAAUAUUGGAGCGGCAGCUGGCCAAGAGCACAGUUGAGGAGGCUCAGCUGAAGAAGAUGGUCGAGGAGGCGAAAAGGAAGAACUUGGUACUGCAGGUCGAGGCAUCUGGUCUCGGGAAGGACAAAGAGGCUUUGGAGGUCGAGUUAGAAAAAUUAUAUGAAGACACUCUGGAAUUGACAAACCGGAGCUUCCUCCAAGUCGUCCACCAGGCCCAUGUCCUCUACAACGGUCCACCACCGGUUGGUGAUUUCGAUCCCGAGAUAGAGGUGUUCGAGGGUCGUGUUCUGUCACGUGCCGAGGUGAAGGCCUUGAAGAGCGCGACACAACCUGCAUCGACCGAAGGUGAUGAAGACGAAGAUUCGUGUCUUAGGUUUCUAACAUUUUGUUUCCUUCGGCCGGGAUGUGGCCUUCUGUUACUUUUCCUCCUUGGUCGGGGUGUGGCUUCGUCCUCUUCUUUUUCAAUGAAUCGGUUGUUUCUUCCUUUUAUACAUUGCUUACAACUGAUAAAUCAACCAAGUUAAAAAACACUGUCAGAAUAGUUUAAAUGAUCUUACAAAAUUGCAUGUUAAUUAUGUGUCGGUAUGAGAAGUCGGUUAACGUUUAUUCCUUAUACAAGUGGUGUUUGGUACCGGCAGGAUAUUCCGGUCAAGACUCCUUCCAGACCGCACCACGUGUUUGAGGUGUCGGCAGGAUAUGUCGGUUAAGGCUCCAUCCAUAUCGCACCGCAUCUUUGAGGUGUCGGUAGGGUAUGUCGGUUAAGGCUCCAUCCAGACCGCACCGUGUCUCAGAGGUGUCGGCAGGGUAUGCUGGUUAUGGCUCCAUCCAAACAGCAUCGUGUGAUUAUAAAUGCGAAAAAAUAAUUAAGAGCAGAGUUGAAUAAAAACUCCUCGUUAAAACCUGACCGGCUGAAAACCCUCCUUAUGGAAAAACAACCGGACGAGGAAAGAGUGCGUAAAUUUUAUUGCCUUUAACUAUAAUAAAAUUUGAGAUGCAUAACAUUCCACGUCCUUGGUACAAUUUUUCCCGAUAACCAUUCUAAAUGAUACGCCCCCAGCAGCAACGUCUCAGACUUAGAACGAUCCCUCUAAGUUGGACGAGAACUUGCCUUCGUUCUUCCUUGCUUCGCUCCUCAUCCUCCAGACAAGGUCUCCUUUCUUGAAAGUCCUCGGUCAGACUUUGGUAUUGUAACGCCAUGCUGCACGUAGUUUGCAUGCGGCCUCUUGGAUUUUGCUUUUGUCCCGGAGUUCGUUUGACAAAUCCAAUCCGACCGAUAGGCUUUCUUCAUUAAGGUUGAGGUUGAACAUUUGUCUCCAGAUGGUGGGUUCCCCCACCUCGACCGAUAUCAUCGCUUCGGUACUGUAUGUUAAGCUAUACGGUGUUUCUUGUGUGGGCAUCUUGGGGGUACAGCGGUAUGCCCAAAGGACUUCCAAUAGCUCUUCAGUCCAUCGCCCUUUCGUUUUGCCUAACCGUUUCUUUAGCUCGUUUAGUAUGACUUUGUUAGCAGCUUCAGCUUAUUCGUUCGCCUAGGAUUGCUCGACCGAGGCUAUUAUUGAUUUGAUGCCAAGGUCCUCAUAGAAUGACUAGAGCCCUUUUUCAAUUAACUGUCGGCCAUUAUCAGUGAUGACGAUAUGCGGGACUUCGAACCGACAUACAAUGCUGCGCCAGACAAAACUUUGUACGUUCUUGGCCGAGAUAGAGGCGAGUGGCUCGACCUCAAUCCACUUGAUGAAGUAGUCGACUCCUGCGAGGAGGAAUUUCGUUUGGCCUUUUCCCGGGGUGAAUGGACCGAUGAUGUCCAUUCCCCAGACGGCGAAAGGCCACAAAGAUGUCAUGUUGUGGAGCAUUUCUGGCUUGAGGUGACGUAGGGGGCCAAACUCCUGGAACUUGGUGCAUUUCUUCACGUAUUCCGCACAAUCUCUUUGAACGGUCGACCAGUAAUAGCCGGCUCAAAUGAAUUUUGCAGCCAUCGUUCGCGCCCCUAAGUGAUUAUCGCAUACUCCUUCGUGUAGCUUGCUAAGAACAUACUCGGCCCUGUCCUUAGUGAUGCACUUCAGCAGCGGCCUUGAAUAGCCUCUCCGAUAGAGGUUCCGAUUGAUCAUUGUGUACCUUGAACAUUGUUGCUUCAUAGCUUUCUCCUUUUCCGGUUUGCAAGUGCCAUGUUCAAGGUAUUGGACGAUUGGGGUCAUCCAGCUUUCGGCCUUUGACCGUUAGGCAUUCGGCCUCUGUCUCACUAGGUUGUUUUAACCAAAUUUGAAUGACAGAUUUGUGGUGGCUCUUCCUUUUGGUUGUUGCAACCGAGACAACGCAUCGACUCUCGUGUUGUCUGCCGGCAGAUAUGGUCCACCGUUACCUUUUGAAAACACGCGACACUGCUCUUCACCGUAUGGUAGUACCUUUGUAACAAAGGUUCUUUCACCUUGAACUCCCUCUUGACCUGACUGACCAUCACCUGGGAGUCACUUUUGCAUGUCACUUCUCGAGCUCCCAUGCCGUAGCGCCGUGAGCAUGUGAUGCAUGACCACGUCCGAGCUAAGGUUGCGGAUGUUCAUGGCUACUUUUCCAAUCCUGUCAAUGAACACCCUCAACGAUUCCCCUUUCUCCUGCCAGAUGCCAACUAGGGCUAUUGAAGUUAGGUGAUGAGGCCGACUAAUGGCAAUUUGCGUGUCAAACUUUGCAACCAGGGUCUCGAAAGAAUCUACAAAAUUCAGAGGGAGCUUUGUGAACCAGCUCAAAGCUCCUCCCUUGAGCGAGGUGGGGAACACUCAACACAGAACCGCGUCGUCCGAUGUAUACAAUCUCAUGUGCAUAGUGUACGCGUCCAUGUGCUCAUCAAGAUCAGUCGUGCCAUCAUAACGGUCCCUUUGAAUCCCUUCAACUUAUCCGGCAGUGGGGUUCCUAUGAUGAAGUCAGUGAACGGGUGUCGAUGGCUGGAGCCUGUAGUCCCGGUCAUGUUCAGUGACUUGUUAGGAUGGGAUUCACCGUCCAUCUCUAAGGUAAGAACCUUGUUCCUCUGCUCCUCGGCUGCUUUGGUAUCGAUAGUGGUGGUGAAGGACCUGCCGACUAAAUUGUUCGGGUCAACAAAUGGUCCUCCCUCCAUAAACUUCUUCAUUUCAGCGUUCUCCUUUCGUAGAGCCAUGAUCUCUUCCUCAUUCUUCUUAGCAUCUUCUUCAUGCUUCCUCUUCAUAUCGGCCAAUUCUUUUUUGCAAAGCCAUCAACAUUGCCGUCUGGUUUGCCUCAGACAUCUUCUCGCUCGCCAUGCUUCGGGUUGAUACCAUCUACCAAUGCUUCUUCACACGAAUUCUCUCGGCCCCACAGUGGGCGCCAAUUGUUCUCGAACGGGGUUUGAGACCCAGAGAACUAUUGGUAUCAACGAUCUUCUAACACCUGUCGGUCGGUCGUGCUAGUCUUCAACCUCCUUCCUUCUCGUCACACCUCUGAGUCGUCUCGGGCACAGACUCGAAUGGUACCUGCAGAAGGCACUCCGACGCUCAAGUCAGCAAAGGUGUCGGCACUCGGUUAUCAGAGUACUGUAGAUAAUGACGUACCUGAUUCUUGGAAUCUGUGCUAUUUAUAUUACCUUAAUGGGCCUCUGUGAUUGGGCCGGAUUAGGGAGUUGGGCUGUGCUAUUUAGCGCUUAAUCUGUGAUUAGCUUUGCUGACUUCCUUUAAGCGCUUUGAGAUAGGUCGACCUUCUCGAGGGGGUCAAGAUCUCGGUCGUUCUGAGGAACGGGCCGUGAGGAUGCUUGUUCUGUGAAUCAGUUAAGGUAUCGGUCGGUCUAGUAAGGAAUGACCGACCCACUUAACCAUUUGUACAGUCCAUACCAGUAUAGAAAUGUUUGCAACAGUCACAAUAAUUUCAAUGGGACAACCAUUUGGUGGCUAGUCAAUUCAAUAAUAAAAGAAAGCAAAAGUAUCUAUACUUUGUCUUGUAUUAAUCUUAAUUUUUAGUUAAUUAAUUAAUUUAAUAAUUUAUAAUUUUGAAAUAUUUUUAUUCAAUUAAAGUUUUAAAUUUUUAAUUUUAAUUAGUGGUGACAAAGCGAGGUGAUGGGUUCUAUCGGAGCCCAUACAAAACACGUAACACAAACUCAUUGUUUUGGUAUGCUGAUCCGUUUAAGCCAGUCUUGCAUCACCCAUAACUCGCACAGACCAGGUACGGGACGGGGCGGCUCAACCCGCUAGUCCGGAUAAUAAUAAUAUGAUGUUUCUUCCUGCACCCUAUCAAUUUUAGAAAUUGAAUUCCAAAAGUCAAAAUAGUUACUCUAUAUUUUGGAAAGUAAGAUAACUAUUCUAAAAAGGUUAUUUUGGAAUAUUUUUUCCCAUUUGAUUUCCAUUCACUACAAGAAAAAGUGCUUUUAGAAACUAAAUUUUUUGUUUCUAAAAUGAUAAAAUUAGUCACUAACGUAAUUAAAGACUAAUUUAGAAACUAAUUGUCUUAAGUGGCUAAAAUCAUGGUCACUAAUUUUAGAUACCAAUUUAGAUUCUAAUUUAGAAACCAAUUUAGUUACCAUUAAAAUAAAAACCAAUUUAGUGACCAAAUAUAUAAAAACUAAUUUAGUGACCAAUUAUAUAGAAACCAAAUUAACAACCAAUUAUAUAGAAAUCAAUUUAGUGACCAAAAUAUAUAUAAACUCAUUUAGUGACCAAAUAUAUAAAUACCAAAAAAUGGUCACUAUAUUGGUCUCGAAAUAAUAUAAUUUAUUAUAAAAAAUUUAAUUUUUAUUUUUUUAACUUUUAUUUUAUUUUAUAUUUUUUAUGUUUAGUACUAUCAAGCAACAAAGGGAUGGUGAUGAACUAAGUGGAGAUUGUACAAAUUUACUCCUACAAUUAAUAAUUAAUUAAUUCCCCUAGAAGUGGGAGGGUACUAAUAAGAAUAAAAGUGCUGAAAAUGUUUUUGUAGUAUAUGUUUGUAGGUGGUCUGAAAAGGCAAAAGGCAGCCCUUCGAGUGAAACUCCAAAAAAUGAAACACAUAGUAGUGCUCCAUCUAUCGUUACCCACACACUGACAACAAUAUCAAUCCAUCAAAGGUGUGUUACUAGUGCAGUGCUAGUCCAUGCUCAGUAACUUCAAUUAAUAACUCAUGAUUCAGCUCAGCUGCAUUAGUGGUAUCUUCUUGAACACUCAGCUAGUAGGAAAUGCCCUCAAAUGUUGGUAGAUAAGUACACAAUGACAACCUAAUGCAAUUCUCAUCAAAUGCAAGCACUUUUAGACCUGUGAAUGCAUCCUCAAUCUACUUGACAACUUCAAACCUGAACAAGGGAACAAGUUGAGUAAGUUGUGACACAGAAUUACAGAUAAGCAUUUGAAGUGUAAGUGAAAGUUGACUCACCACUUGACUCUGAACUGAAGAUUCUACAGAUACUUUAGAAUCAACUUCAUUUCAUCAAUCUUAUUUUCAAGUUCAAAUUGCUGCAUCAUAUGAGACAAAAGAUCUUUAUAAAUCUCAUAAUCUGCAUCUUUUUUAAACUAAUUCAAUCCAAUUCAAUUCAAUUCAAUCCCCAAGAAGAAACUAAAUAGGAAGUAACAUGGAUUGUCAGUGUCAACUAUACCUUUAAAUUUUUGUCUAGAUUUUCCGCGGCUAAAUUUGAAGAAUCAUAUUCUAGAAUUGAGGAAUCGAUGCCUCAUGUAUGUUCUUCUGAUCCUGUAAUUAUUAAAAGCUAAUAUAAAAACAUGAUAACUACAUGAAACCCGAAACAGUAUAAAACACAAACAAGUGCUUAAUUUCUAAAAAAAACUCACUUGAGUAAGUUAAGUAGUUGCAGAAUUGAAUGGUGAGCAUUUUGGUUCUGAAAAUAGCAGCCAGACAUUAAAUAAAAAGACAUAAAAUAUAAACAAAAGAAGCCAAGCUUCAAUGCAACCAAAUUUUUUAUAAAGACCCACUCUCAAUAACAGGGGAAUAUGCAAAAUGUUUGGUACAUCAUGGAUGUUCAGAAUAUUCUCAAUCUGCAAAAAAUCAUACAGAAAAUAUAGAUCAAUUAACCGAUAGAACAAAACUCUCAGACAACUGAGCUCGGUUCACCAACAACUUACUGGAACAUGGCAAAAUUUUGAGAGUUUUUCCUUGGUACUUUCUAGAAGAGGCUGCCAGAUUCAAGAACAAAGUAUUUCAGUUUCUAAUAUAACCAAACUAGCAUCAAAGACAACAGGAAAAGUCAAAACAGAAGAAAACAUUUCAAAAACACUGAAUUCACAAUUGAUUUUAACAAAUAGAAAAGAUGAACAUAAUGAAGUUCAAGCAAUCACCAUAUUCUCCUAAGAAUAGAAUUAUUGAGGUAAGAAUGCGUCUUAACAUAAUAGCCCCAAUUGUAACAACAUAAUUUCACUGGGGAAGCAAAAGCUAAAAAAAUUCAACAGAUGCUCUUACGUAGCUUUGCAUAGUACUCAAUUUGUCCUGUUUUACGGAGAAAUCAUAUUUCCUGAAACAAAAAAAUAGUACUCCGAGUUAAUGAAAUGAGAGAGAAAAGAAAUUUAGGAUUUUAAGAUGGGGAAGAUACAGUGAGUAAAGUUGUGAAGCUUCGAUGACCAAGAAAAAAAUAAAAAAAACAAAGAGCAAAAUGGGGCAUAAAUUAAUGGAGCGAGAAUGAAACUUACGAAGGGUGCGUUGUCGUCGGGUGCAUUGCCAACACAGGUGCGUUACCGUUGCGGGUGCAUUGCCGUUGCGGCUGUGUUGCCGUCAAGGAUGCGUUGCCAUCGCAGGGUGCGGUUCCGAUUGGUUGCAGAGUGUUGCUGAGAGUGAGAGAUGAGUAGAAAAGUUAAAUAGAGAUAAACUUUGAAAUUCAAAUUCCUCGAAACUAUGCUCAAAUUUAAAAAAAUUAAAUAAUUUUUUGAAAAAUAUGUAUAUUAAUUUAAAUUGAUUUAUUAAAUUUUUAAUUUAAAUAAUAUUUUGAAUUGAUUAUUAAUUUAAUUUUAUAUUUAAAUAAAAUUAAAAGAUUAAAAUACUAUUUUAAAUGUAAUUUUUAAGUUGAUAUUAAUUAUUUUAAUAUUAUACUAAAAUUAAUAAAUUAGUAAAUUUAUUCAUAUCAAUUUAAAAUAUUUUAUAAAUUAAUAAUUAAUAAUUAGUUUUAUAAAAUUUAAUUAGUCCAAAAUUAGUAUCAUAAAUUUAAAUAAUAGUGACUAAAAAUUUAAGUAUCUAAUCAUAUGAUGAUUAGAAACUACAAAAUUAGUUUCUAAUUUUAUUUCUUUUAGAGACAAAAAUUAGUUUCUAAAAUAGAUUAAAAGUGACUAAAAAAAUGGUUUUCAUUUACAUUUUAACAAGAGACAAAAAAAUGGUUUCUAUAUAAUUUUUUUUUAUUCUUAAUUAUCAAAAAUAUAGUAUCUAAAUUAUAGAAACUAUUUAUUUUUUUAUUUCUAAAUUAGUUAUCAUAAAAUCAUUUUCUUGUAGUGAUUUAUAGAAUUGACUUUAUGUUAUGAAAAUUAAAUUUUAAAAUUAAUGAGAUACAAGAGAAAAUUGAAUGGAGUACAGGAAAAAAAUCAUAAUAAAAAGUACAAAAUUGUGUGUUCAAACGUUUGGUUUUUAUCAACAUGUAUUUUUGUCACUCCAAACACCUUUUCAAUACUAAAAAAAUAUAAAGUUAUUGAAAAAAAUUAUUAAAAUGAAAAUAAGUUAAAAAUAUAUAAAGAAAUCCCUAAAAAUACAAAUUAAAUAUUAUGACGCCAACAUUAUCAUAACGUAGUUUACGGACAAUAUAACAAAUGUUUUUAAGUACAUUAACAUUUUUUUACUUUUAAUAAAAUUUUAAUUUCCUUUUACAGAAUGAACCAAUAAAUUCAAUUGAAAAAGUAAGGUAGGUGAAUCACCCACAUUUUUCUAAUCAAUGCGAGUCGGAAAAGUAGGCGGCACCCCAAUUCCGAUAACCAUAUCCUUUAAAACAAAGGUAACUUGUUUUUUUAAAAUAAGUUUCUAUGAAAUUGAAAGUUUUUUUCAUCAAUGAAAAAAUAUUUAAGAAAUUUAGUUUAUUUUUGUACUAAAUUUAUUAAUAUUCCUAGCCUUUUUUUAAAAAAUCAACUUUAAUCUCUCUAUCAUUAUUAUAUUUAUUGUUUUUGUUUUUAUUGAUUGUACUUACCAAAAGAAGUGAAAUUCACCCAGCUGUUUUACUCAAAAUAAAAUUACACUCCUAAAUAGUUUAAUUAAUUAAUAAUUUUCAUUACUUAUUUACUAAAACUACAACACUGACUUGUAGUUAAACAUUUUAAAAAAAUAUUAAUAUAAAAUACCUUAGAUUAAUUAUUGUAACAGAAAACUAACAAUUAAAAGUAUGAGGAAGAAGUGUUUUUUUUCUUAUAGAGUGUUUAGUAAUUUUUUUUAUAAAAUAUAUUAAAAAGGAGAAGAAAAAGACCCACUUAAGUGACAAUAAUAUUUCAGGGAAAAUUAAAUUUGUGAUGGAUAAUUAAUUAAAAACAACACCAAACAUUUAUUUAUUUAUACUUUUUACUCUUACUCUUAUUAUCAUAAAAGUUUUGGUGCAGAUAUCAGGGUGUGAAUAUUAGUUGUUGUUGCAACUUCAUCCUUCUCAAAGUAAAUCUCAAUGCUUUGAAGUACACCCUUCUCUUUCACACUGUUUUCCUCAAUACUUUUUUCUUUGUUUUGCAGUCUUCAACGUUUCUGGUUGUUUUGGUUGCCUUCAUGGUGAUCAGGUAAGCAUUAAUGGCAACCUCAUAAAUUUUCUCUUCUAAAACAAAAAUAUCCAUGCAUGUUUAACUUUCUAUAGUCUGAAAAGAUAAUAUUGCUACUUAGAAUUAACUACAACGUUGUUUUUACUAGAAUCUGGGAACCAUAUUUUGAAUUCAUCAGGUUCUUUUUUGGUCCAUGGACGAUCUCAAAGAGAAUCCACUUUUCUAGUUGAAGAAAUUAUUGUUGACCAUUUCUUUUACCAUGAACUCAUCAUUUUACCUUCACUUUCCUUAACAGAAGAGAAGUGGCUACGAAAUUCACAACUUGAACUGUUACUUCUUGAGAGUGUUCAAUGGUUUCUACUUAACAAGGUAAACUCUCCUUUUUCUCUUCCUUGAAUUUCCCAUUGUCCUUUUUCAUGUUUGGGUUUUUUCAUUUCCAUUGUUUGAACAUAUGCAUAUGCUUGGAUAUGAUUUUUGCAGGUAUGUUAGAUAAUUGCUUUUAUUUAAAAAUCAGGAAGACAAACAAAGUUUUCUAUAUUUUCUCAUCUACAAAAUACUUAUAGAGAAAUUUCUUGUUUGUGGUUUUCUGACACUUGUGUGUUAAUGUUCUGUGAAAGUAUCUGAGGCUACUGAUAAGUUUAGAGUGGAUCUGGUUUCUUUGAUGGACCAAGUUUUGUCUUUUCCUUUAACAUCUCAUUCUUCUUUUCUUCCUAAACUCAAUUAGUAUAUUUGAUGAACAAAGGGUGUGAAGAGUGAUCAUACAAUUUGGAUUAUAUAUUUCCUAAAGAGUUAUCAUUCUAAAAAUAAUAAUGAAAAAGGAAAUGCUGAAAUUAUGCAAGUUAUUCUUAUAACUAGAAUAUCUGAGAAGGAAUUAAAAAAAAUUAUAUUUCUACAGAUGGGUGAUCUGGAAUUAUUUAUUUACUACUUUCGAUAUAUUCUAAAAGGUAAAGGACAAAAUUAAAAUUUUAAUAAGUGUUGAAGAAAAUUAUGUGGGUGAGGAAGAAAAAGUCCUAAUUUUAUGGGAUAUAUUUUCUGCAGAUUGUGAGUAUUGUAAAUGGAUCAGAUAAUAUUUUUUUAUAAGUUAUAAAAGGAAAAAUAAAUUAUAAAUAUGUAGUUUUAUAAUACAUUGUCAAAAUAUGAUGUGUUUCAAAGUAAUAUUUAUUAUAAAGUAGAAUUUUUUCCUACUUUAUAAAAUGACAAAAAACGAAAAAAAAAAGAAAAAUUGAACCUAAUUUUCUAUGUUUGUAUGUAUUAAAUAAACCAAAUAUAUGUUUGUAUCAAUCAUAAAUAUAAAGUUAAAAUAUAAUUUGAUCUCAAACUAUAUAUAAAUAAAGAUAGUUAUAAAUGCUAAAACAAAUUUAUUAUCUUUAAAUAAAGACUUGACAUUAAAUAAACGCAAACAACUUUGAUAAUAUAUAUAUAUAUAUAAAUAUAUAUAUAUAUAUAUUUAUAUAUAUAUAUUUAUAUAUAUAUUUAUAUAUAUAUAUAUAUAAAGAAAAGUUGUAAAAGUAUUUAUUUUCCGGUUAUAAAUUUUUAUAUAUAAAAAUAAAAUAAAAUUACUAUGUCUAUAGGAAAAUGUUAUUUUUUGCAUCACAUUAGUCCACGUACUAGUGUUUAUUAUGUGUUGGUGAAAAUUGAAUAUUUACAAGAAAAUUAUUAAACAAAAAUUAAUUUUAAAUUAAAUAAUUAAUUAAUAUAUUAAUUAAAUUAAAUAUUAUUUUAAAAAUUAAAAAAAUUAUUGUUCUCGCCGAUUGACCAGGGACGUCUUCGUGCGUGGCUUAUCCUCGCGAGCUAGGGCGUCUUCGUUUUGCACCGUCUGUGAUACCUGAAAAGGUGUGGACAAAGGGGCGUCAUCGCGGCCGUUUGCACUCCGACGAUCAAGUCAGUUAGCGAGAAACAUCAAAGGGAUACACCUCCAUAUCGGAGCACCGUGAACGAAUGCUCUGAAGGUGGUCGAAAAAUAUACUUACUGGCUAAAACUGUGUUGCCCUAAUUCUCUGUGCGUUCAGUGGGUGCGCAGCGAAAUAACUAGGGUUUACGUGUGUGUAGAACUGUGAGAAUUAGGUCAAAGCCCGAAUCCUUUUCAUACACCUCCUGCAUUUAAAGCGCGUUAAAGCGCAUUGAAAGCGUAUAAAAAUGUGCCUUGAAACAUUUGAUACGUAAACUAAAUUAACGCGUACCUUAGAAAACUUUCACUAAAAAAUUGAUGAGCACGUGCUUAUUGCCACGUGUUCUUCUGACUUGAUCGUUAUUCUACGCAGAGGGCCUCACAACGCUGUAACCCAACUUAGGGUUAUUCCAUUGUGUGAGUCAUCUUUCCUCGAAGUGCAUCUGGCGUGUGGGGUGACUUCCUAGGUGCCAACUCAUGCGCCCCAACCUCUAGUCACUCGCCCUGAGUGUAUCUACCUUCCUCUCGCACCAUGCACUUGGUUCACCCCCGGGCAUGACCCUCUCAUGGGUCGUAUCUAUCCCAGGGGUCUUCCUGAGGUGGCGUGGGUACUUCACGAGUCAGGUUACUCCCUACUGGUACUAGAACUAUGGCCUUGAAGCCACCUUUCUCUUCUCCUUGUUACUAUUCUGGGCUGUCAGACAUGAGACCUCCGAGCGGUGUCGCCCCCUCCAAGGUCUUUCCUACACAUGGGUAUCUGGGGGUAACACCGUUGACGUCUCACCUUGGCUAUGUCUUGUCUUGGCGACGCCUCCCCCUGGCGACGUCUUAUCUUGGCGACGCCUCAAGGAGUCAAUAUAUUGACUUUCUUCCUUGGGUCCCACCAUACGUUGACUUUGACUUUGACUUUGACUUUGGUCGACACCCGGGGACGGGACGGUACACAAGCCCCCCAGUCUUGAGCUGAUACUUGUUUUCAGUGAAAAGACUAAGGCAUCGCCCUAUCAUCCACGUGGCACCCCGAUGACGUGGCAUUUCCUAAGCGGCUGACGUGAUAUUCUCUUGAGCAGCUGACGUGACAUUCUCUGCGCCAGAGAUGUGACGCCUUAAGUUGCGCUUUACUCUUUCGACACGUGGCUUGAUCCUACGGCUGGGGAUGAGCGUCGUUAGCGCUUCUAAGUUAACGUUAUAACCUUUCGAAAUCGCACGCUCCAGGCACUGUUCCAUUCGCCUUCUUCGCAUUCCCUACUAUUCAUCUUCUCAAAGCUCCUUCUGCGCUCUCUGUUCUAACUUUGCAUUUUCGAUCUUCACCAACUCCGAACACUUAAAGGUAUGAACUUUCUCAUUCGAUGACCCUCUUUCUGCUUAUCGUGCCCGAUAUAACUGCCUGGGACUGUUUAUUUUUCUGCAUUUCUUGUGUUUUUCUCUUUUCCUCCUAGUUUCUUCGUUCUUCCCCCUUUCUGGACUUCUCGCAUGGGUAGGGGUUUCCUAGGGUUUCGUCCCAUUCGCUUCUUCUAAACUCCUUCACUAAGCCUUUGCUUUUUUCUUCCUUCUUCAACUUCUUUAUCAAUCUAUGGCACGUACAAAAACAACGCCCAAUCCUCCCCCAAAGGUCGACUAUAAGGCUCAGUACCCCUGGGCCUCAAAUGAGCUCUUGGUUGAGUGCACCAGCCUGACCACUGUAGAAGACGUGGUGAAUCACCAGGGUGACCCACAUCUAUACAACUUUUACGCCUUCUGCAGCACCCAUGACUCCCACGUGUCUGUUCUCCAUGGCACCCCUGGGGAGCCAGUCUGCGUGGACAACCAGUUUAAUGGCAAGAAACCCUUCUUCUUCAUGUACCAAACAGUUUUCAAACGCGUUGGUGUGCGCCUUCCCUUCACAUCCUUUGAAAGGGAGUUACUCACCGAGAUCAACACAGCCCCCGCCCAGCUACACCCCAAUAGCUGGGCCUUUGUCAGGGCUUUCCAAAUCCUAUGUGGGUACCUGGGUGUCCCACCCUCGGUAGACGUUUUUCUUCAUUUCUUUGAAGUGAAAAAGAAAGGGAAAACCCUCUGGGUAAGCUUUUUCGGGGUUGCUGGCAGAAUCCUCCUCACCCUCUUCCAGAACUCUUACAAGGGGUGGAAAGGCCUCUUCUUCAGGGUGUGCGCCAACAAACACAACCCCUCUGUCCUAGACGGGUUUCCCCUGUAUUGGGCGGAAAAGCCCAAUCUGACCAAGCCGAAAUCCUUGGACGAGCUGUCUUCCGCCGAUAAAGGGGUGUGUGAGGCCUUGGCUGGCCUGAAGAUCGUCUUCAACACGUUGAAGCUCAUAGCUUGUGAGUUCAACGCGCGCACCCUCUCUUCAUACUUCGGUAGGAAAACUUGCCCCUUGCUUGCCUCCUCUAUGCUUAUUUCGUAAUCGUGCUUUCCCUUAUUCAUGCAUGCGAUACUUGUCUGCUUUAAUUUCUAUAUUUGCUGUUGAUCUGCAAAAUUACCUCAGUAGUAGGGUUAAUAUCCUGUACUUAGUCCCAAGUUCAAGCCUUAACUCCAAAUUUCUGCGUAUCACCAUAUGUAUUUGAUACUUCAUUCUUUAUUGAUAUCGGCCUUAACCUUUGUUGCUUGGUUUGUUUGGUGCAACAUCAGUGAUGGACCCCGCAACGCGAGUUGAGCUGGCCAGGUCCUUGAAGGUGCGUUCUAACGCGACGUCCAUAAAGACCGGCGCCUCCAGUACUCCCCCCACCGAGUCCAAUCCAACGCCACCAUCACCACUACCCCACACUGCCGAAACACUCCGCUCCCCUCAUUCCCCCUCCAAACACCAAACUCCAAACUCCCCCCUUACGUUCCAAGCACCUUCCAUAGCCCAAACAUCCGACUCUCCCCCAACACUCCAAACACCUAACUCACCCCUUACACCCCAAACACCUAACUCACCCCGUCCCAUUGCUGCAGUCCCACUAACUGUAGCUAGCAUUCCUUCCACAACCCCCCCCCUGACAAAGGCAAGAGGGUGCUUACCAUUUCCUCCGAGGAUGAUGACUCGGACGUGGGGCUUGCCUAUAAGAGAAGGAGGACCAACCGAAUCGUCUACUCACACUCCCCUUCACCUCCAUAUGGGGGGUCUUUGAUGGACAACCCCCCAGCGCCACAUCUCCCCCACAACAAGCAGCCCAAGAGGCGGGGGUGGUGGAGUCUGCGCCCCUACCAACACCAACACUAGCCCCUGCACCUACCGCCCCUACGCCUACCCAAGAACUCUUGGAGAUUCCCCCGCCAAUUAGGCAGCUGAUGCGGGGUUUUGCUGAUAGGUCAACGCCCGAAAGCUCCUCCGUGGAGAAUAGGAGAGAAGGCAUGCUCUAUUACUUGGGGGCCUUCUUGGCCAUCGCUCUUGAAUGGCGCGCCCAGGCCAAGUCCAAAGUUGAAGAGGUACGCGCCCUCCAAGCCCUUCAACAGGAAGUGGCUACCCUGAAAGAGGAGAAGGAGGGCUUGUCCUGCGACUUGGCGUGCCAAGAGGAGGUCUACAAGGCCUCUUUGAGGAGGACCCGAGAGGUCAAUGCGGAAGCCUGCAAACGACUACACGAUGCAGGGCAAGCUGGCACUGAGCUCCUCACUCGGGUGGCGUCUCUCCAAUCCAAAAUCGCUGAUCUCGAAACGACGAUGAAAGCUUCUGAGGCACAACAGAAACAACUUGCAGACCAGUGCGCUGACCGGGAGCAAUUUUUGGGAAAGGCUGAGGGGGAGCUAGCUGAAAAGAUGGAAAAGCUUAACCUUCUCCAAACUGAGCAUGGCCAGUUCCAGGCUGAACUGAAUAGGCUUUAGGUGGAGAAGGAAGUUCUCGAGAAGCAGCUAGCCUCCGGGGACUCCGCGAUCGAGGAGCUGGAGAGGGCCAAGAAAGAGCUCAUUGUGGAGAGGGAAAUCCAGGACUCCACAAUUAAAAGACUGGAGCAGGCCAAAGGGAAGCUUAUCGACGACAUGGCCGACACCUUUGCAGUGGGAUUCAAGGAGGCUCUAGCUCAAGCUGCCUGUGAAAACCCGGGGAUUGACACCUCCAACUGCAGCCAUUUCAACCAUAUUGUUGAUGGGAAGGUCGUGCCCCUCAACCUCGGGAAAUGAGCUGCCCUUAAUAAACUUCUAUCUUGCUUGUGAAUUUGUAUUUACAAUAUUUUAAACUUUACUUGUAAUCCUGACACUUAACUUCAUUUGCUUGAAUGUCAUUCGAACGUCGCCUUUAAAUUCUCGUACGAUCUCAAUCUUCAUUGCACCUUUAUUUGCUUCUGUCUUCUUUACUAUAUCGAACGUGUUUUCCUCAAUACAUCUCUUCAUCGCUUCACCUUUAACUCUCUAGAUAGCACGUGACUUCUUCUCUUGUUCUUUCUUUCUAAGUCGUAUCGCCUAUCCUUCUCUUGGCCUUUUCACUCAGAAACUUGCUUAACCUUCGUGUCUGUGAGAAAUCUCCCUCACGAAGGCGUCGCCACCUUGUCAUUGUCCAUAGGCAAAGGAGGAUUUAACUUCAUGUGUUUUUCUCAUCUUUGGCAGCUCGUGCCUUCAUGCUUCAUCUCCUCCUUGCUUUUCGCUUACUUGUCUUGAGUCCCGAGGUGCUUAUUACCGAAGACAUUGCUGGCCUUAUCACCGCUUAGGAUGAGAAGGGUCUCAUCUUCUCUUUCUGGCCUGGACAUCGCUCAAGGGCGAGGAGGACUUAUCUUACCUGUACUGGGUGCCCAUGCUCGAGGAGGGACCUGCUCUGGGUGUCUUCAGCGUAUCUAGACACUUGGAACAAAAGUCGCGCUCUGGUGCCCACGCCUAUGGAGAGGCCCAUAAACCAAACUGAACAACGUCUCCAUGGUGGAAGAUUGAGGCGUGGUGUGGUAAACCCACACGAUCCUUGGCACUUCUUCAGCCCACACCCCCUUAGCUUUCUCUAACCUUCUUUUCAGCCCUCUCAGCAAAACCCUAUUUGCUGAUUCUACCUGCCCAUUCGUCUGGGGGUGUUCGACUGAUGCGAACACUUGCUUGAUCCCUACUUCUGCACAUAACUUUCCCAACUGUUGGCUUGCGAACUGGGUGCCAUUAUCAGAAAUGAGACGCCUCGGCACCCCCAAAACGACACACAAUGUUCUUCCAAACAAAGUGUUGUACCUUGUGCGCAGUGAUCUGUGCCACUGGUUCUACCUCUAUCCACUUGGUGAAGUACUUGAUGACGAUGAUCAGGUACUUCAUCUGCCUUAUCGCCAGUGGAAACAGACCUAGGAUAUCAAUCUCCCAAGUAUGGAAAGGCCAUGGGUUAUAUAUGGAUCUCAGUUCUUCUGGCGGCGCUUUGUGCCAAUCAGCGUGCAUCUGACACUGCUUGCAACACUGGGCGUAACGAACGCAGUCUUCUCUUACCGUCGGCCAGUAAAAACCUGCACGUACUACCUUGGAUGCCAAGGAUCUUCCUCCCACGUGGCUCCCACAAAUACCUUCAUGGAGUUCAGCCAUUAUCCUGGUGCACUCGUUGCCACUUACACACGUCAAGAUAGGGUGCGUAAACCCAUGUCUGAAUAAUAUCCCAUCCACUAAAGUUUACCUUGCGGCGUUCCUCUUGACCUUCUUGCCUUCUUCUGGUUCCGCUGGGAGGAUCCCAUCCGUGAGGUAUCGCCUGUAAGGGGUCAUCCAGGUGUCGCCUUCCUCCAAGGCGCAUACAUGUACGCCCAUCUCUUCUUCCAACGAGGUCGCGUAGGUACUGAUGCAGGGUGUCCUCGCCGUAGCUUGACUCAAAGAGCGAUGGCUCCUUGACUUUCCUCUUGUUGUACUAAUGUGAAAGACAUCCACUCUGUUGUCUGCCACAAACUUUCGCGGUGUUUUGGACGUCUCUUGGAUGACAGUCCUCUGCCUUCCCCCCUCUCCUGAGCUAGCAAACUUGGCAAGUAGGUCAGCACUGGCAUUUUGUUCCAUAGGGACAUGCACCAACUCAAACACGGCGAAGGCUCCCUUCAACACCUCGACGUACCUCAAGUACGUAGCCAUCUGUGGAUCCUUUGCCUGAUACUCCCCUGUUACUUGUCCUGUGACCAAUUGUGAGUCACUCUUUGCCAAAAGGCUUUGAGCGCCCAUUUCUUUAGCCAAAAGCAUCCCAGCAAUCAGCGCCUCAUACUCCGAUUAAUUAUUGCUUGCCUUGAAUGCGAAUCGUAAGGCUUGCUCGAUCAACACUCUGUUAGGCCCUUCCAAGAUUAUUCCAGCGCCACUUCCCUACUGGUUAGAGGACCCAUCCACUGAGAGCAUCCACUGUGAUCCCAAGUCUACCUCUUGAGGGUCUCCUCCUGGUGACAGCUUUGCCACGAAAUCUGCAUAGACUUGCUCUUUGAUGGAUCCCCUGGGUUCAUACUGGAUAUCAAACUCCAACAGCUCCACCGCCCAGCGAACCAUCCUCCAUGCUACAUCUGGCUUCUAAAUUAUCUUCUGGAGGGGGAAGUUCGUCAUCACCACCACUGUGAAACUGUGGAAAUAGUGGCGGAACCUUCUGGCUGAGAACACCACUGCUAGUGUUGCCUUCUCCAGUGAUUGAUACCUCAGUUCUGGGCCUUGCAAGGCCUUGCUUACAAAGUAGAUGGGCUUCUGCACUUGGUCUUGCUCCUGGACCAGCACAGAGCUAAUGGCCCACUCUGUCACCGCAAAGUAUAAUCGGAGGGGGACGCCUGCCCGUGGCUUGCAAAGAACAGGUGGCGUCGCCAAGUACUCCUUCAAUUUGAGUAACGCUGCUUCACACUCAUCUGUCCAUGCAAAACGGCUAUUCCUCUUGAGGCAUUGAAAAUAGGGGUGGCCUUUCUCACCUCUAGCAGAUACGAAUCUUGAUAACGCUGUCAUUCGCUCCGUCAGUUGUUGAACUUCUUUCAUUGAGGUUGGGCUCCUCAUGGCGAUGAUGGUUGCGCACUUAUCGGAGUUUGCCUCUAUCCCCUUCUCCGUGAGCAUGAAGCCUAAGAACUUCCCCACCUCCAUGCCAAAAACGCAUUUCUCCGGGUUUAACUUGAAGCAGUAUCUGGCUAUUGUGGCGAACAGCUCUUCCAGAUCCACUGCGUGCUGGCCUUUGUCACGCGAAGUCACUAUCAUGUCAUCCACGUAGGCUUGCACGUUCCUUCCUAGCAUGGGUGCUAGGACCUUGUCCAUCAGCCUCUGGUAAGUGGCACCUGCAUUUUUUAGCCCAAACGACAUCACCUUGUAACAGUAGUUGCAUGUCUCUGUCAUGAACGUUGUUUUACACUCAUCUCUUGGGUGCAUCUUGAUCUGGUUGUAACCCGAGAAUGCGUCCAAGAAGCUCAACAUCUUGCUUCCCGAUGCACUGUCCACCAAUGCGUCGAUGUUGGGCAACGGGUACGAAUCUUUAGGGCACGCUUUGUUCAAAUUCGUGAAGUCGACGCACAUCCUCCACUUCCCAUUCACUUUCUUCACUAGAACCACGUUGGCAUGCCACUCAGGGUAUUGUAUCUCUCUGAUGUACCCGGUGCUUAGCAACUUUUGCGUCUCUUCCUUCAUGACGAGGCAUCGUUCUUCAUUGAACUUCCUCCUUCUCUAUCGUACAGGGCGAACGUUGGCAUCUAUAGUAUGAUGGUGGCACAAAAAAUAUGGGUCUAUGCCCGACAUGUCCGCCACAGUCCACGCGAAUGCGUCUAGGUGGCGGGAGAUGACUGCUGCCACUUCAUCUUGUUCUUCCCGACUCAACAAACGUCCCAAUUUGAACACCUUACCCCCUAUCUGCAUUUCCACCACAUUGUCUAAUGGUUGGGGUCACCUAUCCCGCACACUCUCUGCACGAGUCUUAUUCCUGUGAUCCUCUUCUACUGGCGUCGCCCUGUCGGGUGCGUCGGGCGUCGCCUCCUCCGACGCUUCUUCUAUGGGCAAGGCCUCUAUGUGGCUUCCUUCUGCGCACACAUCUUCUACAGGCAUUGCCUCUUCCACUGGGUCUAACUCCAUUCGCGAAUCUGAAUUGGGUGGUCAUUCAAUCACCAUGACCACGCCUCUCUUCAUAGCAUCUCCGGGCCUCUUCCUGGUAUGACUUGAUAACUAUCACCUUGCCACUAAGAUCCGGUAGCUUCAUCUUCAUGUGGUGUAUGGAGGCCGCUGCUCUCAAUCUGUUUAGGGCGGGUCUGCCCAACAAAAUGUUAUAGGCUGAAUUGGCGUUAACCACCAAGUACCGGAUGCUCUCGGUACGCGACGCCACUCCAUCAGUGAAUGUCGUUCUCAGCUCCAAGUAGCUACGUACCUCCACUGGAUUGUCUGCGAAUCCAUAUAAGUAUCCAGUAUAGGGUCUCAAAAGGUCAGGGGAUAAUUGUAGCUUGUUGAAGGUCGACCAAAACAUGACAUCUGCAGAACUGCCUUGGUCGACAAGGACCCUGUGUACCUUUCUCCCCGCUGUGACUACUGAGAUGACCACGAGGUCAUUGUCAUGCGGGAGAACAUCCCGUAGGUCAGCCCUGGUGAAAACAAGGUUUGACUCUCAUGGGUCAUCCGAAAACUCCCAGCAACUGCACUCAGUGAUCUCACAUAUUUCUUACGUUGAGAGGCAGUAGGUCCUUCCCCGGAAAAGCCACCAGAAAUGGUGUGAACUUCCCCAUGGACUGGCAUCUCAUGUGCCUGACCCUCCUCUGGUACCGUCGGGACUGUGGUCACAGCAGACCCAGCGAGAUAAUCCUUUAGGAAACCAUUCUUCACGAGCUCAUCCAACUGAUAGCCCAGCGCUAAGCAGUUGUUGAUAUGGUGCCCGAACGCCUCAUGGAACUCGCACCACGAAUCUUUGUGAGGUCCUAGUACCUUAUCAGACUUUACUGGUGGCCUCAACCUGUCAACUAUGUUGGGCACGACGAUGAGGUCUUUAAGCUCUACCACAAAGUUGUGCCUCAAUGGUUUACACCCUUCUCUCUUUCUCUCUGUUUGACCCCUGGGCUGGGUACUUCUUGCCUCGUAGGGGCGCUUCCUGUCUUGGUUCUCCCUCCCUGUCGUGGCCUUGUGGAUCCUAGCGGGUUGCGCGCGUAUAUGCGCUCUCGGGUGCAUGGCCGCAACAGUUGAGCGUUUCUCGUACACCUCGCCCUCAGAGGCAAUGUGUUCUACCUCACAACGCCUUAUUUCAGCAAAAGUCUUGGGGCAGUCACGAAAGAGCGACUUGCUGAAAGGCUCAGGACACACCCCUUUCCUGAAUGCAUACACGAUCAUGGGCUCGUCUGUGGUACCCACCUUCACCACCUGCACCCCGAAACGGCUUAUGUAUUCUUUCAGGGUCUCAUCCUGAUACUGUUUUACGUCAAAUAGGUCAUAUGAAACUGGGGGAGGGGCCCUGUUGGCUAGAUACUGCUCUCGGAAUAGCCGCGAAAGCUGUGCGAAAGACGUGAUAUGACCCUCUGGGAGGUUGAUGAACCAGUCCAUGGCCAUCCCAGUCAAGGUGCUCAUGAAGAGCUUGCACCUUACCGCAUCAGAGCCGCCUACCAGCAUCAUCUGCGUGUGGAACGCAGUGAGGUGCGCCUCAGGGUCUUCUAUUCCUGUGAAGGUUGCUUUGGGCCCUGUGAACGUGUUGGGAAUCACUGUCUCUAGGAUCGCUUGUGAGAACGGUGUUGAGAAUUCUUUUGGUGGGGUGACAGCCUCGACUUCGUCUGUGUCGCGCCGCCCGCGGCGCAGCUCCUCGUUUGUACGGUGGAGCUCUUCGUUUAUCUCUUGAGAUGUAGCAAGAUCCGCUUGCAUGCGUUCUUACUCCACUUUCGACGCUGCCAUUGCUUCUUGUAAUCCCUGCAUCAUACCCAUGAGUUACUGCAUGGUCAUCUCUUCACUUUCAGCGCGCGUCGCGCUUUGUCUCGUGGAUCUCAUCAUCUGGAACCGCUCUUAGCUGUCGUGCAACUCCAAGGGGUAAAGACUUGAAUUCGAACGAACGUGAGCGUACAACGACUCAACCAAAGCAACCGGUGAAAACUGCACCAAUUCUUCUUUGGUAAAAUGGCGAGGGAAUUGGGUUAGAAACUGCAACUGCAACUGGAAAACUGGGUGAUGGGACUGAUGUUUUAUAUCGGCCCCACGGUGGGCACCAAAUGUUCCCGCCGGUUGACCAGGACAUCUUCGUGCGUGGCUUGUCCUCGCGAGUUAGGGCGUCUUCAUUCUGCACCGUCUGUGAUACCUGAAAAGAAGUGGACAAAGGGGCGCCCUAGCGGCCGUUUGCGCUCCGACGAUCAAGUCAACUAGCGAGAAACAUCAAGGGGACACACCUCCAUAUCGGAGCACCGUGAACGAAUGCUCUGAAGGUGGUCGAAAAAUAUACUGAGUGGCUAAAACUGUGUUGCCCUAAUUCUCUGUGUGUCCAGUGGGUGCACAACGAAAUAACUAGGGUUUACGUAUGUGUAGAACUGUGAGAAUUAGGUCAAAGCCCGGAUCCUUUUCAAAUGUCCCCAGGCCCCUUUUCAUACACCUCCUGCAUUUAAAGCGCGUUAAAGCGCAUUGAAAGCAUAUAAAAAUGUGUCUUGAAACAUUUGAUACGUAAACUAAAUUAACGCGUACCUUAGUAAACUUUCACUAUAACAUUGAUGAGCACGUGCUUAUUGUCAUGUGUUCUUCUGACUUGAUCGUUAUUCUACGUAAAGGGCCUCACAGCGCUGUAACCCAACUUAGGGUUAUUCCAUUGUGUGAGUCCUCUUUCCUCGAAGUGCAUCUGGCGUGUGUGGUGACUUCCUGGGUGCCAACUCAUGCGCCCCAACCUCUAGUCACUCGCCUAGAGAGUGUAUCUACCUUCCUCUCACACCAUGCACAUGGUUCACCCCCGGGCAUGACCCUCUCAUGGGUCGUAUCUAUCCCGGGGGUCUCCCUAAGGUGGCGUGGGUACUUCACGAGUCAGGUUACUCCCUACUGGUACUAGAACUAUGUUGUUGAAGCCACCUUUCUCUUCUCCUUGUUACUGUUAUGGGCUGUCGGACCUGAGACCUCCGAGCGGUGUCGCCCCCUCCAAGGUCUUUCCUACCCAUAGGUAUCUGGGGGUAACACUGUCGACGUCUCACCUUGGCUAUGUCUUGUCUUGGCGACGCCUUUGCCUGACGACGCCUUCUCUUGGCGAUGCCUUAAUGAUGCGACACCUCCCCCUGACGACGUCUUAUCUUGGCGACGCCUUAACCUGGCGACGCCUCAACCUGGCGACGCCUCAACCUGGCGACGCCUCAACCUGGCGACGCCUGAAGGAGUCAACCUGUUGACUUUCUUCCUUGACUCCCCUUGAGGGGUCCCACCAUAUGUUGACUUUGACUUUGACUUUGGUCGACACCCGGGAACGGGACGGUACAAUUAUUGAUAUUUUAAAAUUAAUAUAUAAUUAAAAUAAUAUUAAAUUUAAUUAAUAUAAUAACUAAUUAUUUUUAAUAUUUAAAAUUAAUUUUUAUUUAAUAAUGCUGCAGUGACAUAUACUCAUUUGAGUCCCUUCCUUCCCUCUCUUUCCUCGUACAACCAAAAGUGUCCCUCCAUUUGGGUGAAACCUUCUCCACUCCUCGAGAUCCUAUCUCCACUCGAGCCACCAUUGCACGCACCAUUGCCAUGAAGGGCAAGCUCCUCCACCGGAAACUGCACAGAUUUUUCUUCACCCACCCUCACACCAUCUUCUCUUUCUUCGCCAUAGUUAGAGCAUUCUGACUCGUAAAACUGCUCUCCAGUCUUCUCCUCUGAGCCGACAUCCGAGUCCGCCUCUUGUGUCUCCCCCCACAUGGGAUGAAAGCAUAUGGAGAUGUUGGCCGAGAGAGACGACUCCUCCUCUACUACAUUGAAGCACCUCUUUUCCAAACGUUGCUUCAUUAACUUCUAUUAGUGUCCCAACUUGAGCAGUUAUUUCUUCAAAGCACUGUCUGUUCCAGUAAGCUAGGGAAUUCCUCUACAUCUUACCCAUACAUACUUAUCCGUUACAGCAAAGCUAUUAACCCAUGGAACAACUUAUUCAAAAAUUCUUCUAGCCAUGCCUUUUUCUCUUUGAUAGUCUUCUCUACCACCCCUUCCGCUUCCCCAGACAUCAACACAAAACUAUCUCCUAGAUAUCUCACUCUAAUGAAGUUGAAACCUUUCAUGAUGAUCUCUCCUUUAUGGCCUCCACCUUCCCCGCCUCUAACAUUCUACCUACAAAGCAUUUUUGUAGCCAUUUUGUACUAUCCUCCUUAACCCUGAUAAGAACCAUACACUCUUCUUGAUAGCAUUGUCUUCAUUUCUUUUGAAUUUUUGUGGUGGAGCAAAAGCUUGAUGUAGGAAGCGGACAAGGAUGAUUCUAAUAAAGUUAUGGUUUCUUUGAAGGUGCAUGAUUGGUUGGGCCAUAUCACUUGGAGAAGGUGAAGAAGAAGAUUAAGGUCUCAAUCCUAGAGAGACAAGACAAGAGAGUGAGAAAGCAUGCAAUCUUGGCAAUAAUUUAGUCAUUCAUUAAUCUUGGAAAUUCAUGAGCCAAGCACCCUUUUAAAUAGGAAUGAGGUACAACCAUUGUACAAGGAAAUUAGUGGGAAAUUCAAAUGCAAUGGGUUUGUAUAUUAGCCCCUAAAAUGAGCUCACAAGUCAAGCACGACAAGGUGUGUUUCAUGUGAUUCAUUUAGACCUAAAUGACUGGCCUAGGUUAACUAGGGGUUUUUUUAUAAACCCUAAUUUAAACUAGGUUGAUUUUUAGAUGCUUAAAUUCAACCCUAAUUACAAUUAAGAAAAGUUAUAAGUAAAUUUUUUAUUCUACUUUUGACAAGAAAAUAAAUUCUACUUUAAAUAUUUUACACUAGGUUUAUGACAUUCUUGAACAUGUAUAUGAGGGUUUCUCUACUAUCAGUAGCAUAGUCUCAGUCUUCUUGGAUCUUUCUUGCCAUGGACCUAGUAUUUCCCUUCUUUCAUUCCCUUCACCACUUGUGCAAACGUCUGGCAUCUGACGAUGAUCUUGUUUCCUCCAUUCCUUCCUGUGUUGCAUUGAUCUUUGGCUUCAAUUCCACUCAUUCUUUGAUUCCUCAAACCUCCUAUAUUUUGAUCUAUGUACUCGCAACUUCCACGUCGCAGCAUCAACAACCUCUUGAAAUCUCACAAAACCAAACCUUUAUUUUCUAACAUUAAAUCUUCUUUUUUUUUUUUUUUUUUAGAGCAAUGAAUGAAUUAAAUUAAGAGGGAUACUUUAGGGGUAUCCCAACCCGUUUACAAACCACACACUGAUUAUACUGCUGAGCAGCCAUAGAGAGGCUAUGCCUGCAGCGAUAGAUACAAGAAAACCCUGCAAAAAAGAAUCAUAGCAGCAGAAUUGAGCUUACACACCCACUAAACCCAUCCUCCAAACAAACAUGAGAAGGGUGCUCUUAGCUUAUGAUCUAACCUUUAAAAAGGUCCUAGGAUACCUCAUUAGCAGUAAAAAAAACAGCAAGUACCCCGACAUUUUAAAUUCUCAACUACAGCAGAAACAGCCAACACCAAAGUGUUUAUAUAGAUUCACCACUGCAGCAGGCUCCAACAACUGAUGAUUUCUUUUGCACUCCAACCCACCUCACCCAUAUCUACUCCUGCAUGUUCUUCCAAGGCCACCCCUUCCAUCUAUAAUAAUGCAAAGCCAUCGUCCAACACCACCACCUAUAUACACCUACUGUUGUCCUUCCAUGCUCCACCCUUCCAUAUCUUCCUCUGUUAUAGCCUUUUCCAACUUACCCAUGCCAAGUAAAACCAACAGACCGUGUCUGUAUGAACACGCUGUGCAUCCUCCAAGCUCCAGCAAGCCUGUCCUGCACCACUAAGCCAGUUCCAGUAUUCUCACACCUAUACCAGUAAUGUUUACGCCAGCUCACAUGUGAGUGAGAAAAGAUAGAGUGAGGGUAGUGCACUUCUCAAAGCAGUGCAUACUCUCAAAGCCUAUUACAGCACCGGAACUAACUCGACUUCUCCCAAGAUCCCUAUUUCCAGUCAAAACCUUCUUCUCCAGCAAUCAAAAACGGCCCAUCUAUUCCCCUGUAUCUGCAUCAAAGACUUGCCUGGAAAAAUUACUUAAAGCUCGUAAUGCAUAUAAGUGGAUUAAGAACCCAAUCAACGAACGAAUAGUUAAAGGAAGGCGUUUUAUGCUUCAGCCAUAGCCAAGACUUGAGUUGAGCCUUUUGGAAGACUUCCUCCACGUCUACUACCCCAUGCUGGAAAACAACCAUAUUUCUUUGAUCCCAUAUGCUCCUAACAACAUUUACCCAAACACCUUUCCAUAGCAGAUUUUGUUUGCUACUAACUUGGGAUAAGAAAAAGCUUUGAAAAUGCACCUUUAAAUCAUUAUGCUGGACAGAUAAAAUACCUAUCCAAUUAAAGCAUAAAGACCAUACCCGUUGAGCGUGUUUGCAUUCCAAGAAGAUGUGUUGACAUGACUCCUCCUCCAACUGGCAUAAAGGACACGACGUAGAGGUCAUCAACACCCCUUUCCUGCUCAAGCCCACUCUUGUAGGUAUUCUUCCCACAAGUACCCUCCAAGCUGUCGUGACUACGCUUGGAAAUGCCUUUACCUUCCACAAGAGUUUAAACACUUCGGAUUGAGGGUCUCUAAUUUGCUUAGUUAGGCAUUCGUAUGCAGAUUUCACAGAGAAUAACCGUGAUUUCUCCUUCCCCCACGUGUGAUUGUCCUUGAUGUUCUUCUUCAAAAUGACCCUGGAUAAGAUCAUGCUAAGAUCUGCUUCCAUUGGCUUCUCCCACUCAAAUCGAGCACGCCUCCACUUCAAACUCCACCGCCACUCCGAGUUUAUCCAUUCACCAACCUCACCCACUACUUGACCCUGAUUUAGGGACAAGGAAAAAAGUCGUGGGAACAUGGAUUUCAAAUCGGCACUUCCAACCCAUACCUCCUCCCAGAAUUUAAUUUUAUUACCACAUCCUAUUUCCCAUCCUAGCUCUUCUUGAAACCAGCCUUUACCUCCUCCCUCCUUGCAUAUCUUUAACAGGUCUCUCCACCACCAAGACUGAACUUUGGUAGGUGUUUGGUUAUCUUCUAACUCCAAGUUGUACUUUGAAUCUAGCAGCUCCUUCCACCUUCCAUUCACAUCAGACAGACUGCGCCAUCUCCAUUUGGCUAAAAGAGCAUAAUUGAGCAUACGUAUAUCCCGACAACCCAAACCUCCCUCCGCUUUAGAUUUGCAUACGUCUUUCCAGCUAACCCAGAAGAUUGGCUUAUUGGCUUUCCCCCAUCCCCACAGAAAUCUCCUUUGUAUGCUCAUAAUCCUCUUACAAACCGCCAGCGGUGCUUUGAAAAGGGAUAAGUAAUACAAAGGUACACCUGUUAAAACAGAUUUAAUAAGACAAAUUCUUCCUGCCAUUGAAAGGAAUCUUCCUUUCCAUACACUAAGUCUUCCUUUUAACUUAUUAAUGACCGGUUCCCAGAACUGCUUCGUCCUUGGGUUUCCUCCCACUUCCAGGCCAAGAUAUUUGAAGGGAAUCCCCAUCUGCGAGCAAUUAAGAGUCUUAGUGUAGCAUGAUACUGCACUACUUUGCACGUUUAUACCUGCUAGCCUGGACUUAUGGAAGUUAAUCUUUAAGCCUGAGGCUAGCUCAAAACCCCUCAAAAUGGCUUUCAAAGUUAACACGUUGCUGUAGGAGUCUUCACACAGAAAUAAGGUGUCAUCCGCAAAUUGGAGAAUGCAUAUCUCUAACUCCUUGCUUCCAAUCUUGAGACCCGAUAGCAUAUUGACCUUCAAAGCCUGUCUGACAAUUCCAGCAAGACCUUCUGCUGCCACCAAGAACAGGAAGGGGGCUAAAGGAUCACCCUGUCUCAACCCUCUUGAUGGCUUGAACUCCUUCGUAGGGCUCCCAUUGACCAGCACAGAAAUUGAAGCGGACUCCAUACAACCUCGAAUCCAAGUGAUCCAUAAGUUAUGAAACCCCAUCCUGUGCAGCAUAUCAUAUAGGAAUUCCCAUCUAACCGAGUCAUAUGCCUUCUCGAAGUCCACCUUUAAGCAGAGCCCACUUCUCCCCUUUUUUCUAAGAUCCUCCACCACUUCAUUAGCCAUAAGCACGCUGUCUAGAAUCCCUCUAUUCUUUAGGAAGGCUGAUUGGCUUUCAUCUACGAUUGCAGGCAGCACCUUCUUCAACCUGCUAGCCAAGACCUUAGAUAUGAUUUUGUAUAGGGCUCCUACUAGUGAGAUGGGUCUAUACUGUUCAAGCUUAGAUGGGUCCCUGACCUUGGGGAUUAGACAUAUGAACGAAGCGUUACAACCCUUCGGAAUGGUUCCAGUCCUGUGAAACAAAGCCAUUGCUGCAAAAAUGUCAUGUUUUAUAAGAUCCCAGCUUUUCCUGAUAAAACUGAAGUUAAAGCCAUCUGGACCGGGACUCUUCGAACCUUCACACUGCCACACUGCGUCCCUUAUCUCUUCCUCCGUGAACGCUGCUACAAGUCUCUCGUUAUCCAUUGGGUUAAGAGAUUUAAACUCGACUUCAUCCAACCUUACACCAAGAUCUUUCGUGGCACUAAAUCUAGCUUCAAACAACUUUUUUGCCUCCAUGCGAACGGUACUAGGUUCCUCACACCAUUGGUCCCCAACCUGAACGCCCUUCACUUCAUUCCUGAGCCUUCUCCACCUCAAAGAUGAGUGAAAAAACCUAGUACAGGAGUCCCCAUUUUUAAACCAGCUUGCUCUAGCCUUUUGACAAAAAAGGCUUUCAAUUUUCUUUUCAGUCUCAACCAGACGGCUUGUCAAUUCCAUUUUUUCCAGCCUCUCACCUUCCCCUAAGCCCCCACUGCAGUCUUGGCAAUCUAAAGCCUCCAGAUCCUGAAGGAUCCUCCUCUUAGUAGUAUCAAGGUUACCAAACACAUCUCUGUUCCAUACUUUCAGAUCUGUUUUGAGCAUUUUCAGUUUUUCUUUAAAAACCGUUAUACCAUUCCCCUGUAGCAAGUAUGAUUGCCAUUUAUCCUUCACCAUCCUGUUAAAGCCCCUUUCCAAUAGCCAAGCGUCAAUGAAUUUGAAGGGCUUAGGUCCCCAGUCCUUCUCUACCGACUUAACCACCAGUGCACAAUGGUCGGAUACCUCCCUCCGUAAAACAUACUGUUUACUCGUGGGCCAUAGUUUAAGCCACUCUUCAGAAACCAGCACUCUAUCGAUUCUGCUCUUAGCCGUUCCAUCCGGUUUGAACCACGUAAAACUCUUGCCUACCCGAGGUAAGUCUAGCAGAAAAUUGGCAUCAAUGAAACUAUUAAAGCCCAUUAUCUCACUUGACUGUGUACCCCAUCCUCUAAUGCCUGACCUUUCGUUUCUACUUCUCACAGCAUUGAAGUCUCCACACAAGCACCAUGCUAGAACUUGAGAGGCCAGCUUAGCAGAAGAAAGGUCCUCCCAUAAUUUCUUCUUACCACUUAAUGCACAAGGAGAGUACACAUUAACCACCACACACCUAGAAGAGGAUUUAAUAUGUUGACCGCACACUAUAAUAAAACCUUUGCCUACCAGAUGAUAUUCACAGCUAAAGGCUUCUUUAUGCCAUAGCGACAGUAAACUUCCAUUCCCAUCAUCUCCUUUAUUAUGUAUCCAUCCAACAUUGUUAUCUCCCCAAAGAGAGAAGCAUCUACCGUCCGAAAUCUCCUUAGUUUUUGUUUCCUGCACACACACAAAUUCUGCUCCCUCGCUUCCAAUGAUAUGCCUCAAAUACCUGGCUUUGGUACCUCCCCCCAGACCUCUUAUAUUUAAAUUGACAAUUAUCAUUUAAACACAUCCUUCUUACCCUCCGCUAGACUCUCCAUGAACUGCAGAUCUCUUGCUUCCAAAGAAGAGUAUUCAUUGAGAACCUGUUGUUCGUCCCCUUGGCAUGUGAUCCCCACUCUUCUACUUAUCUCCCACAGUUUGGCCGAGGCCACAGGCGAAACAGAAUCACCCAAACGAGUGUUGCAAUUAUCAAUAUCACCGUCAGAAAGAGAGACUGAGGUCAAACCGUGUCGGGAAAGAGAAGAAGAAAGGUCAAACCCUAAACAUUAAAUCUUCUUGAAAUGAAAACAUAUUUGAUUCUUCUCCCUCUCAGAAAAAUCUUCCACAUAUCUCUUUCAUUAUGGUCGCUUGGAAAAUUGGAGAAAAAAAGCAGAACUCCAUUACAAAACUUUUUUGUUUCAUUUAUGUUAAUGUUGCUUUUCAAGUUUGAUUGUUUAAUUCUUUAACUGAAAGUUCGUUCCCCAUUUUAAUUCAAAUAAACAAUUUGGAUUUUUUUAUAUUCGGUCCAUUUGCAGAGGUAAAAUUUAUGCACCUCAAUUACACAGAUGGUUAAACUUAUAUUGUAACAUAAACAUAUACAAAAGAAUUGCAGAAUUUAUUAAGAGAAAUACAUAAGAUAUCGAUCUUUGUGGAGAUAAGAAUUUUAGAAAACUACUCUUUGUUAUAUCAUUCUUCUUUUUCUUACACGAAAUUAGUUUUUGCAUUACAAAACAUGAAAUUUCAGGCUCAAAGAACAGCAAAGUUCAUCAUCCCUAAUCUAUUAUUAUCGAUUCAUUAGUUCAACUAUAUUAUCUCUUAAUUAAUAUUACUCUGUGAUUUACACGUAUGCAUGCAGAAAAGAUGUAAUUGAGAGGCAACAUGGCUUCUCUGGUCACGUGUUAUGAAUUCCUGACAUCGUCACCUCGUGCAAAGGCGUGGCUAAAGAAGCAUUUGAUUCAACUGUACAAGUACGAGGCAAGAGUUCGUGAAGUAGAAGGUGUUGUGACGAAGCUCCAGAAAAAGAGAGAUACUAUUCAGCAUACUGUUGACGAGGAAGAACGUCGACAUGGAAGAAAAAUUCACGUUGAAGUUAAAGAAUGGAUAGAGAGUGUGGAUAAACUCAUUCUCGCAUAUAAGGAUUUCGACGAGGACAAAAAUUGCCAUAAAUGUGCAGUGUUUGACUUUUUCGAAAGUGGUUAUCUUCCGAAGCCGGGAAUAAGGUAUCAUCGAAGUAGAAAAGCAGAUGAUAUCACAAAGCAGGCAAAUGGGUUGCUGCAAAAUGCAAAGUUUGACAUUUUGUCUUAUUGGUCUGGGCCACCUUCCAUGGCUGCAUUUUUUUCAAACCUUGGUUACGAAAACUAUACAUCAAGAAAUGACACUGUGAAAAAGAUUACUGAUGAAUUCCAAAAGCCAGGUGUUAGAAUGAUCGGUCUUCAUGGCUUGAGUGGCGUUGGCAAGACCUCUUUAGUGAAAGAAGUUGUGAAGAAAGCCUUGAAAGAUAAGAUGUUCGAAGUGGUGACCAUGGCAAGUGUGACAAAAAACCCUGACGUAAGAAAAAUCCAAGGACAAAUUGUUGACAUGUUGGGGGUUGUAUUGGAGGAGGAAAGUGACAUUGCAAGAGCUGCUAGGAUUCACGAGAUAUUGAAUAAUGAGAAUAAGAGUACGCUUAUAAUACUAGAUGAUCUCUGGGAAGAAGUGAACUUUAACCUGCUGGGGAUUCCAUGUGAAUUAAAGAAAGAUGAUAGCGUAACAAAUGUCAAAGGAAAAUCCCUUUAUGUUGAUAGCUCCAAGAAUGUCACUGAUGGAAAAUCCCCCGGUGCUCUUGAUAGGGUGAAGAGUGUCAAAAUAAGAGAUAUCCUUGGCGGUGGUUUGAAGAAUGCCAAUGAAGGAAAAUCCCCCGUUGAUGCUUCUGAUCGGGUUAAAACAGAAAAAACUGUUCCUCAGUACAAAGGGUGCAAGAUUUUGAUUAUUUCUGAAAUCAAACAAGUGUUAUCAAGUCAAAUGGAAGGGAAAGAAGAGUAUAUUUUCCCCGUGGAAGUCUUAAAGGAGAAGGAAGGAGAGAUGUUGUUCAAGAAAAAGGCUGGAAUAGAUGGCAAGAAUUCUGAAUUUGACAAAUUAGCAGCUCAAAUUGCCAAGAAGUGUAAAGGGUUGCCAAUGACAAUAGUUACCACUGCAAGGACACUGAAAAAUAAGAGCCUUUCUGUAUGGGAGGAAACUAACCGAAACCUCGAAUCUCAAAACUUAACUGGAGCACCUGAAUUUUCUACAAUGUUGAGUUAUAAGCUUUUGGAUGAGGAACUCAAGCACACUUUCUUGCUUUGUGCUCGCAUGGGUCAUGAUGCAUUGAUUAUGGACUUGGUCAAAUAUUGUAUUGGUUUUGGUUUUCUUCGAGGAAUCAACACAGCAAGGCAAACCAGAGACAAAGUACAUACGUUGGUUGGAAAGCUAAAAGAGUCGGGUCUGUUGUCUGACAGUUAUUCAAGUGAUCAUUUUACCAUGCCGGAUACUGUUCGUACUGCAGCUUUGUCAAUAGCAUAUAAGGAAAAUCAUUUAUUUACACUGACAAAGGGAAAAGUAGAUGAUUGGCCUGAUAACCUUGAAAGCUAUGCUGCUAUUUCCUUACAUCAUUGUGACUUCAUUGAAGAGUUUCCCGAGAGAAUAAACUAUCCAAGACUUAGAGUCCUAGAAAUUGUCAAUAAUAAUCCACGUCCGAAAAUACCUAACAACUUCUUCGAAGGAGUGAAAGAACUCAGAGUGUUGAUAUUGACUGGUAUUCAUCUCCACCUCAUUGAUUCUUCAAUUUCAUGCUUGAAUAAACUUAGAAUGCUCUGUUUGGAACAAUGCUGCAUGCCAGAUGAGGAAUUAUCCAUCAUCGGAGAGCUGAAAAGGUUAAGAAUUCUUAGUUUUUCAGGAUCUGAUAUUAAAAGUUUGCCAGAUGAAUUGAAUGAGUUAAAAAUGCUACAAAUUUUUGACAUAAGUAAUUGCUCUAAACUUAAAAAAAUUCCAUAUGGUGUCAUAUCAAGCUUGGUAAGUCUGGAGGAGUUGUAUAUGAGAAAUACCUUGAUUCAAUGGGAGGAUGAAGAACAACACGUCAAAGUAAAGUAGCUCUUCUUUCUGAUUUGAAACAUUUGAAUCAAUUGACAACUCUAGACAUACAAAUCCCAAAUGUUUCCUACUUGCCAAGGAAUUUGUUUUUUGACAAGUUAUAUAGUUACAAGAUUGUUAUUGGAGAUUUGAGUUCAUUUUUAGAGACAGAUUUCAAGAUGCCAGAGAAAUAUGAAACAUUGAAAUUUUUGGCAGUACAAUUGAAAAAUGGAUCUGACAUUCAUUCUUUAAAGGGGAUCAAAAUGCUGUUUGAAGGAGUUGAAAAUUUGUUUCUAGAACUUAAUACUGUCCAUGAAAAGCACAGUAGUGUCCAGGAAGCCCAUAAUAUUGUCCACGACCUUUUUUAUAGAUUGAAUUUAAAAGGAUUUCCAUAUCUGAAACAUUUGUGGAUUGUAAAUAAUUCUACCAUUCAAUCUCUCAUCCAUCCAAAGGACAGGCAGCACCCUGAGAAAGCUUUUCCAAAAUUGGAAUCAUUAUGUCUCUAUAAUCUGAAGAUGAAUGAAUUAUGCUCAUGUAAACUUUCUGAACCCUCUUUUGGUAAACUGAAAGUCAUCAAGAUCAAUCUCUGUGGUGAAUUGAAGAAUGUCUUCUCAAUUUCUGUGGUUAGACUUUUAAAAGUCCUUGAAACAAUUAAAGUUUCUGAAUGUAACUCUUUGAAGGAAAUUAUCGAUGUGGGACCACAAAGCAACCCUGAAAAGACUGAGCUUCUUACUCUCCCUGAAUUACGCUAUUUGAAGCUACAAUCUUUGUCUGAGUUUAUUGGGUUUGAUGCCAUUCCUCCGAUAGAAGGAGAGGAAAGAAAACUCUUCAACGAAAAGGUGCGUUUAUAAUUGUUCCUCCAAAUUUCUGUGCUAAACCUUUUUUUUCACAUUUUAUUUUGUUAAACUAAUAGGAAAGAGUUUGUAAGGAGUUAAACUUUAAAAUAGAAGAAGCUUAUUUGUCUAUUACGAAAAUUAAGUUGAGAAAAUCAAAAUCAAUUCCUUAGUUUUUUGAGACACUAAUCACGUGUGUCUCUUUGCAGGUUGGAGUUUCAAAAUUAGAGAGACUGGAGUUGUCCUCAAUCAUGAUUGACGUUAUAUGGAGUGUCGACCAUUCUUCUAAAAGAUUAUCUUUUGAAAGUUUAACACGUUUGGAUGUUAAUCGUUGUUGGAAACUAAAAUAUUUGGUAUCAUCCACAAUGGCCAAGAGUCUGGUGAAUCUUCAAAGCCUUUAUAUUAGUGAAUGUGAUAAGAUGAGAAGCAUCUUCCUCCCUGAACAAGAUACAGAGAAGGAUAUUAUGGUAAGAAGAUUGGUCUGAUUAGAUUCAAUGUUACGAUUUGAAAUUGCAAACCCACCACAAUCGUAGUUUCAAAUAGUACAGUUAUUGAUGUUGUUUGUUUGUAGAUCUAUAAAUGUUAUAUUAGUCCAUUUCAAAUUUUAAUAGUUUUUAAUGUUUAUUAUAACCAAAGUACUUCAUGUUUUUCUGUUUAUUAAUUUGGUUUCUCUAUUUUACAUCUAAUUCCAUUAACUAAUGGUAACUGUGUACCAAAAUAGGGUAGCAUCUUUCCAAAAUUGAAGAAUAUGAAACUUGGCAGCAUGAAGAGUCUGAGCAAGAUAUGGAAUCCGAAACUCCCUUCAGACUCCUUUAACAAACUAGACACUCUAAUCAUUGAGGAGUGUGACAAACUUGAAAAUGUAAUGGAGGGAAUAUUUGGGAGUCUAUGCAGCUUGAGAGUUACAAAUUGCAGGUCCAUGCAAACAAUAUUUAAUAUAGGUGUGCAAGUUGGGGAUGUAGCUAAUAACUUGCAAGAUGUUCAUUUAGAAACACUCCCAAAAUUGAAGCUUGUAUGGAAAAUCAAUAAUGAAGAUCGAAUAGAGAUUCCUAAGUUUAACAUACUGAAGAAGAUGUGGGCACAAGAUUGUGACAGCUUGGAAUAUAUAUUUCCAUUUUCUGUAGCCAGGAGUCUUGAUAAUCUGGAAUCUCUAGUGGUUUGUGAUUGCUAUGGAUUGAGUGAAAUUGUUGCCGAAAGGGAAGCUACCAACAGGGGUAGAGCCAGAUUUAACUUUCCUAAACUAAGCACCAUCAAAUUUUCAGAACUACCAAAACUUACGAGCUUCUAUCCAACAACUUAUGAUUUAUCAUGUCCAUUGAAUGAGCUGUCUAUUGAACUUUGUAACAAUCUGGAACCAUUCAACAAAGGAACCGAGUAUGCACAAAGAAAUCCUGUACAUGUAUGCUUUCCUGAAGAGGUACUUGUACUAAGCCCUUCAACUCUUCAACCACACUUUCUAAUUCAUGCAAAAUUAAAUAGAAAAUGAUAAAAAUGGAAACAUAUUCUUCUACUUUUAUUUAAAUAUAUUUACAUUUAUAUUAAUAUACUCAUCCUUUUGUUUACAUGUUUGUCAAUUAUAGGUAAUCAAUCACUUGAAGUCCAUGCAAAUUGAGUCUUGGCAUGCAAAGUCACCAAGCAGUUAUAUGGGUAAAAGGAACCAUCGAAGGGAUAACUUAGAAGAGCUUUCCUUGUCUAGAUUAAUGGAUACUGAGAUUUUAUAUUCUUUCCUACAAAGAAAUCCUAAUUUGAAAAGCCUAUCAUUAAGUAAUUGUUUCUUUAAUAAGAUAGUGCCUCUAAAAGAAGAUACGGAAAUUGAAAACUUGGGAGUAGUUCCAAAUCUGAAAAGCUUGAAAUUGAUAGACUUGCCGAAUCUUGAAGAGAUAGGCUUUGAACCAGACAUAAUUCUUGAAAGGAUAGAGUUCUUGAUUUUACAGAACUGUCCCUGUAUGAUUACUAUAGCACCUUCCUCUGUAUCUUUUACUCGCUUGACAAAUCUAGAAGUGGUCAACUGUGAUGGAUUGCAAAGUCUAAUGUCAGCAUCUACUGCAAAAAGUUUGGUUCAGCUCAACACCAUGAAGGUAGUGAAAUGUGAAUCCCUGAUGGAAAUAGUAAGAAAAGAUGGAGAAAAAUCGGACAAAGUUGUUUUUCAACAAUUGAAAGUCCUAGAGCUUGUUUCACUGAAGAACCUCAAGAGUUUCUGUGUCUCUGAUUGUGACUUUGAAUUCCCAUCACUGGAGAAAUUUGUAGUGAGUGCAUGUUAUAAUAUGGAAAAAUUUUCUGAAACAGUCUCCAGCUCACCAAUUUUACAAAAUAUUCACGUUGUACAUGGAAAAGAGAACAAACGAUUCUGCUGGGAAGGAGGUAUAAAUGCUACAAUACAAAAAAUAUUUGGGGAGAAGGUAUGUAAUUAUGUAUGAUUUUCUUGACUAAAUUUUCGUUUCAAUUUUGUUGUCCCCAGUUUUAAAAGUUAACUUAAAACAGUGUAAUUAGUGGGCUUAAAAAUUUGUGUGAAUUUGUGGUAAAUAGAAAACGAGAAAUAAUUAUGUCUUAGCUUCAGUUAUCUUUUUAAAGAAUCAAAGACCCAUUUUUUUUAAACAUCCUCUAACCAAAAAAUAAAAGAAAAAUCAAUGACAAGUGAUUGUCUGAGUGGAAUAGGUAUCAUACAAUGAACUUACACAAUAUAUAUUCACAGAAAUUUUUUGAAGGCAUGGAGGAGAUGAGCCUUUCUGAACAUCAAGAGCUACAAGAAACCUGGCAAAGUGGAUCUAGUCUUCAAAAGCAAAAUAGCUGGUUUUAUAGUCUGAAAAUUUUGAAGCUUGAAAACUGUGUAAUUCAACCAUGUGCAAUUCCAUCUAACAUUCUUCCUUAUUUGAGGAGCUUAGAAGAACUGGAAGUACGAGGUUGCAACAAUGUAAAGGUAAUUUUUCAGAUGAAUGCUGAAGGGGGUACUGGAACAACAUUCCACUUGCAGAAAUUGACUUUAGAAGAGCUACCAGAACUUAAGGAUGUCUGGGAAAGAAACGGUAAAGGAACUCAGAGCUUUCAAAAUCUGAAGGUAGUCAAUGUCAGUGAAUGUGAAAACCUGCAAACUGUGUUUCCUUUGACCUUGGCAAAAAUUCUUAAGAAACUUGACGAACUUGAAAUACUACUUUGUCUUGGAUUGCAUGAAAUUGUUAGAAAGGAAGAGGACACAGAAGCGGUGUUUGUGUUCCCAUGCUUAACUACACUUCAUCUUGGUGAUCUGCCAGAGCUCAUUUACUUCUACCCACAAUCAUUUACUUUGGAAUGCCCUGUGUUAAAUAAAUUAUUAGUGUGGAGUUGCCCAGAGUUGGAGCUAUUUGGAAGUGCUAACAGACAAUCCAUGUUCUUUGAUCUAAAGGUAAUUAAGUAAAAAGAAAUGCGCACUUUGUAUAUAUUUUACGUUUCACCUUUUAAUACUCAGUGCUCACCCUUUUAUUUGUUUUUCUUUCACUAGGAUAUCUGCAACCUUGAGGUACUGUUACUUGACUGGAAACUUGACUCGGUGUUAAGGACAAACUUGGGAGAACCUAUGGACAACCUCAAAUACUUACAUUAUAUUCUCCUGUUUUGUUAUACUGAUGAGAAUAAAAGAUUUGAUUUUCCCAUUCAAAUACUCCAGAAGAUGCCCAAUUUAACAAAAAUGAGUAUAUACAAUUGCAGUUGCCUCGAGUUAUUCCAAACUCGAAUCCCAGAAAUUGUUGAAACAAAGGUGGUGCUUACGGACUUGAAAGCAUUGGAACUGAAUAACAUUUCGAAACUCCAGUCCAUUGGGUCGGAGGACUCACCAUGGUUAAACGUGAUUUGUGACAGUGAAAAGCUCCAAGAAUUAUAUAUUGAAAAUUGUCCUGAUUUGAAAACUUUAGUGCAUUCUACUCCUUCAGUGUCUUUCACGUAUGUGAAAGAAAUGUUCAUAGAAAGCUGUCAAGAAUUGAAGUAUUUAUUCACAUUAUCUGCGGUGAAUAAGUUAGAGAACCUUGAGCAUAUAAAAGUCAGAGACUGUAAAUCAAUGGAAGCGAUAGUCUUGAAAGAUGAGGGUGACAUUUCAGAAGAGAUCAAAUUACAGCAGCUAAAGCGCAUAGAUCUAAGUAUUUUACCAAGCUUGGAAUGCUUUUAUUCAGGCGAUGACACUAUGCGCUUACCCUCCUUGAAGCAAGUGGACAUAUGGAUGUGCCCCAAGAUGGAGUUUUUCUCUCGAGGAUAGAUAGACAUGAAUUCUUCUUUUAGAGGAAUUCAAGCUUCAAACAACACAAGUGAUGAAUUUUUCUUAUACAAUAAUCUUAACUCGUCGGUAAAAAAGGUGUUCCUUCAAGAGGUAACCACUUCUAAUUAUGAAUCAAUUAAUUAUGACUCUGGUUUGUGUGAAUUUAAAGAAUCUAAAACAAGAAUUUGCUAAGUAUUAAACUCAAAACCACCAUAAGUUAAGUUUUGUUUUCUCCAUGGAAAUUUGAAUCACCAAUAAUUAUUACCUUUAAUUCUGAUUUUGAAUAUCAUUUAUGUUAGAAUUGUAGGCCUUAAACAAGAAGGGGUGACUUGUUUUCAAACGUUUUUUUGAAAGUUUUGAAGGUAUGUAGAAAGUCAAAGAAGAAUCAAAGUCAAAGGAAUCAAAGAAUACAAAAUAGAAAACAGUUUUAGUUGAAUUCCAGAAAUUCAACCAGUUGUUUCUGCGAUUCAACCGAUUGUUUUUAUCAGCAGAGUGUAAAUACAACUAAAAACAGAUAUGCAAGAGUUAAGGGAGAGAAAGAAUCACACAAGCAAUUUUAUACUGGUUCACUCUUAUACCCAAAGCUACAUCCAGUUCCCAGAAACCUCUGGGUAUCCACUAAGUAAUAGAAAAACCAGAUUACAAACACACAACCACUAAAGAAGUGAUCUUGAUCCCCUCAAGAGCACACACUUCCUUUGGCACACCACAAACACACCACAGAUCAUAACACCCUCUGACUCUGUGAACACCAGUUCUUAUAGAAAUACAAUUGAAGGAGGAAAUAGGAUUGAUCACACCUGGUACAAAUAAAAUCAAAGUACACAACAAGUCCUACUUCACUCUUAGAGAAAAAUCCAAAGCCUUAAGCAAUCUUGGAGAAAACUUGAUUUCAAAAACUGAUCUAACUCUUUUGCUAGGAGCGUAUAACAGAAUAUUUAUACUCCAAUUAGCAGUUAAAAGCAUUUAUUAUUAAAGUCAAAUCAGUUUUAAAACAUUCAAAGCAGAUUUAACAAACUUAACAUAAUUAUGUUAAGGCAGUUAAAAAAAAAUUGAUUGUUUUGUCGAAACAACCGAUUAAAUUGAUUUGACAGCAAAGUCAACCAAGUUCAAAUAUGCCAAAACUACACUACAAGAAAAUCUUGAAAUAGAAACCAAUAUUUAGAGACCAAAAUAAUUAGUUACAAUAGGAACUAAAAUAGAGACCAUUUUAAAAACUAAAAAAAAAAUGGUUUCUAAAUUAGUUUCUAUUAUUUUCUAUUAUUGUUAAAUAGUUUCUAAAUUGAUAUCUAAUUAGCAACUAAGGUUUUAACUACCAAUUAUGUAGUUUCUAAAUUUGGUAGCAAAAACCUUGGUUGCUAAUUAGAUACCAAUUUAGAAACUAUUUAACAAUAAUAGAAACUAAUUUAGAAACCAAAUUUCUUUUUAGUUUCUAAAAUGGUCUCUAAUUUAGUUACUAUUGCAACUAAUUAUUUUGGUUUCUACAAAUUGGUUUCUAUUUCAUGAUUUUCUUGUAGUGGUAGUUUCAAAAACCUUAUGUAUAAAACAACUGAUUGAAACGAUAAAACAACUGGUUGUUUUUUUGCUUCUUCAUAAAACACUCUUUUAAAAAGAUUUGAAUUAAACCAACUUCUGGAUUCAAAUUAAGAGUGAAUUAACAAAUUCAAACUACCCUAGAACACACCCAACUAAGCUACAAUCAUCCUUCACGCAAUCCAUAGACAGCGCAUGAACAGCGAAAGAAGAAAAAGAAACAAGAAGUCUUAGAGGAAGCCUAACAAACAAAGAUGACCACCAAGAAAUACAAGGUGAUGUAUGCGCAAUGUAACUGAGGAAAAAGACGUGGAUGCGAAGGUCGCGACUUCAGUCGCAACGAAGGUCAUGCUCGUGAAUACAACAAUAAAGAGAAAGGACAAACAAACCAAAAAAACUAACGUGCAUGAGGUUGCGGUCGUGGAAGUGGUGGUCGUUCAAAUAGUCAAAAUGUUGAAUGUUACAACUGCAAAAGACAUGGACACUGCGCAAAAGAUUGUAAUACCGAGAAGAAAGUGGAAGAAAAUGCAAAUUUAGUCGAGGAAUAUGAGACAAAAGAAGAAGGAAUUCUCAUGAUGGUUGAUGAAAAUGUCAUUUUGGAUAGUGACAUGGUAUGGUAUCAAGACACUGAUACUAGUAGUCAUAUGUGUGGGCACAAACACUUCUUUGUUGAUAUACAAGAGAUAAAAGAUGGACAUGUUUUGGAGACUCAACAAGGGUCAGGGAAAAAAAUGUUUUCCUAGAAGGAUAGAAAAGAAGGUAUUAUAGAGGACGUCUAUAUUUUUUUAUCGGCAAAGAAUAAAAAAUAAAAUAGGGAGCACUUGGGGUGCCUCAACCCAUAUACAAAAACCAGGCUUGAGAAAAAGUAUUACAUGUUGGCCUAAGACAGCUAACCAACUAAAGCAAAAAUCAAGCCUGUAAAAACUUUAAAACGCAUAAAUAUAUAACCGAAAAUUGCUCCCCUCCCAUAAUUUUCCUAACUUAAAACUUACAUAAUUCCCCAAUUCACCAAAACACCAAAUUAAGAAAAAAAAUACAAACAAUACAAUAUCUCCAACAUUGGUCUAAACUAACACCCCAAUUGAGUUGCACCAAUGGAAAACAUUAUUCCUUGAGACAACUACAGUAUAAAUCUGUGAUCCAUGUGUGCAGGUUAUCAUUCCAUGCCUUAGAGAGUUCCUCAAGUUAUGAAGGACUUCUAUUAUGUACUUGACUUGAAAAGUAAUAUUAUUAGUAUGGGAUAAUUAUUGAAGAAAGGAUGUUUGGUUUUCAUGAAAGACCGAAUGUUGCACUUGAAGGACAAAAAUGAUAGAGUGAUCGCAAAUGUGGAGAUGUGAUGUUCAAACUCAACUUAAAGAAUAUACAAGAGAGGUGUUUGCAAGUCAACAUGGAGGACAAAGCAUGGUUAUGGCAUUUACGGUUUGGACAUUUACACUACAAUGGGCUAAAAGAGUUAGCAAAGAAGAAGAUGGUCCAUGGGUUAUCAGACAUGGACUACAUCAAGAAAUUAUGUGAAGGUUGUGUAUUUGGUAAGCAAGCAAGGACAAAUUUUCAAAGAAGGCAGAAUAUCGUGGAAGGAAAUGCCUUGAGUUGGUUCAUACUGACAUAUGUGGCCUAAUCACUCUAGGUCUUUUAGUGAGAAGACGUAUUUCAUUACUUUCAUUAGCGACUGUACAAGGAAGACUUGAUUUUAUUUUUUGAAGGAAAAAUCAUAAGCAUAUGAGGUGUUAAAAAUUUAAGGCAAUGGUAGAGAAGACAAUCAAUUUAUACAUAAAGGCUUUACGGUCAAAUAGAGACGGAGAGUACAUGUCAACCACUUUCAUAAACUAUUGUACGAAACAAGGUAUCAAAAGAUUCUUGACAACACCAUAUUCACCUCAGCAAAAUGGCAUCGCAAAAAGAAAAGAUCGAAUAAUACUUGAUAUGGUUUGAUCCAUGUUAAAGAGAAAAAAUAUGCCGAAGAAAUUUUUGUGCGAAAGUAGUGCAAUGUGUUGUAUACGUGCAAAAUCGAUAUCCACAUACAAAAUUGAUGAAUCAAACGCCAAAAGAAGCCUAGAGCGGUUAUAAACCAACCGUAUCACACCUUAAAGUGUUUGGUAGUAUGGCGUACACGCAUUGUACUCACACCUUAGAGUAAGAAAUAUGUGUUUGUUUGGUAUGAUGGGAAUACUUGAUCCCAUUGAUAAAAAAGUGAUUGGGAGUCGAGACGUACAAGUGAAUGAAGAAAACACGUGGGACUAGAAGAAUCAAAUGGUUGCAAAACAAGGAGGGUAAUUGAGUAUUGUACCAGUAAAUAUUUGAAUAAUUUUUCCAUAUCAUGAUGAAGAAGAAGAGCCAUGACAACCUAAGAUGCGAAGCCAGACCUAUAUGACUCAACUGAUGAAACACAUUUGAUUCGCUUAUUAGUAGACUCAAAGAACAUUGAAUUUGAGGAAGUAGUGAGAGACAAGAAAUGGAAAGCUGCAAUGGACAAAAAGAUAAAAACAAUUGAAAGAAAUGGAAUGAGGGACUUAUUAGAGUUUCCAAAACGAAGUAAACUCAUAGGUGUAAAACGGGUGUACAAGAAAAAGAUGAAUGUUCAAGGGGAGAUUGAAAGGCAUAAGGCACACCUAGCUGCAAAAGACUACAAACAAAAGGCGGGAAUUGAUUAUGAUGAAGUUUUUGCUUCAGUUUCAAGAAUAGAGAAAGUUCGACUUCUUUCUUCUCUUGUUGCACAAAUCGAGUGGCCAAUCUAUCAAAUGGAUGUGAAAUUUGCAUUUUUAAAUGAAGUCCUUGAAGAAGACGUCUAUGUAGAGCAACCGCUAGGGUUCAUGAAAUUUUGGAAAAAAGACCAAAGUUUUGAAGCUAAAGAAAGCAUUGUACAGGUUAAAGGAAGCGCCCCGUGCUUGGAACUCCCAAAUUGAUACUUACUUCAAAAGCGAAAUAAAUUUUUACAAUGUGCUUAUGAACAUGCACUAUACGUAAAGAAAGAAGAAGGUAAUUUAAUUUUUGUUGCUCGUUAUGUUGAUGAUCUUAUUUUCAUGGGGAGUAAUAAGAAGAUGACUGAAGAUUUUAAAGAAGUUAUGAAGCAAGAGUUUGAAAUGACAAACUUAGGAUUGAUGAAGUAUUUCUUGGCCUUGAGAUUAGACAGAGAUUUUGGAAUUUUUGUGUCCCAAGAAGCACAUAUGCUAAGGAUAUUUUGAAGAAAAACGAGAUGGAAGAUUGUUAUCCGAUAACAACGCCAAUGAAGCUCGGUAUGAAACACUCUAAAUUUGAAGGAGGAGACCAAGUGAAGGCAAGAGAAUAAUGUAGUUUAGUAGGGAGUCUACCGUAUCUCACAUGUACAAGGCCGAACAUUGAGUAUAGUUUUGGUAUAAUAAGUCGAUUCAUGGAGGAUCUAAGACACUUGCACCUAAAAGAUAUUAAAAGAAUUCUUCAAUACAUUCGAGGAACAAAAUCACUUGGGCUACUCUACUCAAAGACAAAUGAAUUUAAGUUGGUUGGAUACUCUGAUAGUGAUUGAUGUGGAGAUGUAGAUGACCGAAAAAGUAGAGCAGGAUAUGGGGAAUACAACAUUAACAUGGCUCUUAAAGAAGCAUCCAAUCGUAACUUUGUCAACAUGUGAGGAGGAAUAUGUUACAACAUCUUGGUGUGUGUGACACAUGAUUUGGUAAAGAAAUUUAUUAUGUGAGUUAAAUUUGCAACAACUUGAGGCAACUAAAAUACGAGUUGACAUCAAAUCAACCAUUGAAUUAGCAAAGAAUCUAGUUCAUCAUGAGAGGAAUAAGCAUAUUGAUACUCGUUUUCAUUUUAUUAGAACAUGUGAAGAAUGGAAAAGUAAAAAUAAUGCAUGUUGCAAGUCAUCUACAAACAAUUCUAUUUGAAAAAUUGAAGAUGAUUGGAAUGAAGAAUAUGAAAGGUUUUAGUUUAAGGGAGGAAUUUGUUAAGCAUUCAAAUCAAAGUCGCCCUCAGUUGUUUUUUUCGUCAAAAUUUGAAUGACCAAUAAUUAUUACUUUUAAUUUUGAAUUUUGAAUAUUAUUUAUAAUAUGAUUUUAGAUGUAAUUUAUAUUAUAACUGUUAUUAGAGAACAAGAUGCAUUGGAAGUCUAUUGUGAGACUAUAUAGUAUUGUACUCUCUAUUUGAAAUAUUAAAAAUAAAAACUUUGUCUCUGUUGACAGAACCAUUGUAGAUUUAAAGCGGUUUUUUAUAGGUAAACAAAGCAUAGCAGGCAAUUGAUAUAUCUGAUGAUAAACCUAUUGAAAUAUUUACAGGAGUUUUUUCAAGCCGUGGACAAGGACUGUUUUUCUGAUAAUCUUGAGCUACAAGCAGACCCACGUUGUAAAAUUGGUCUGCAAAACAAAUGGAUGGCCAAUUUGGAAACUUUGAAGCUGCAGAACUGCACUCUAUCAUAUGCAAUUCCAUCUUCUAUUCUUGCUCUUUUAAACAACUUAAAAGAGUUAGAAGUACGAGAAAGCGACCAAGUAAAGGCAAUUUUUGACAUGAAUGACGACACUGAGAUUACUGCAACAGAAUCCCAGUUGAAGAUAUUGACUUUAAAUGGGCUACCAGAGCUUACGCAUGUGUGGGAAAAGGACACUCACAAAAUUCUCAUCUUUCGCAAUCUACAAGAGGUUGCUGUCAGUGAUUGUGCAAAGCUGCAAAGUUUAUUUCCUGCUUCCCUGGCAAAAAGUCUCAAGGAUCUUAAGAAGCUUAAAAUAGAUUCGUGUAAAGAUUUGCAAGAAAUAGCAUUUGCAACAGAAGAGUUUGUGUUCCCUAAGCUAGAGGAUAUGGAACUCAAUGCCUUGCCCCAGGUCAUUUGCCCUAACACAUUCACUCUGAAAUUCCCCGCCCUAAAAUUUUUAUCGGUGAGGGAUUGUGAUAAGUUAGGGGUAUAUGAUCCCAUGGGUGAAGGUACUUCAAGAAGCAUACUCCCUCUUAUCUCAGAUCCAAAGGUAAGUUAAAGCAUCACUGAAUCAACUUUUUUCUCCUUUCAAAAUUCACGCACCUUUCGAUCCGAUUUGUUUUUGUCUCUAACUUGUAGGUCAUUUCCAACAUGGAGAAACUGACUCUUGAUUGGAAACAAAGGGCAUUAAGCUUAUGGUUUCAGUCACAACAAUCUACGGAAGGCCUCACAAAUUUAAACAGCAUUUCCUUGUGGUUCCUUGGUGCUAAUGAGAAUGAAAUGCCUAUGUUGCCCAUUGAAAUACUCAAGGCACCAAAUUUAAUAGAAAUGGAAAUAAACAAUUGCAAACUCGAGAAUUUCCUUGCUCAAAACCCCAAAAUUGGCGAGAAGGAGAUGCUGGGACAUUUAACAAUAUUGACACUAUGCAAUGUGUCCACUCUUCAGUUCUUCCAGUUUGAGUACUCUUCAAGCUUAAACAUAAUCUGUGAAAGAAUUCAUAAAUUACUUGUUUCUGAAUGUUCUCAUUUGACAACAUUAGGAAUACAUUCUACUUCUACAGUGUCUUUCUCUUGUCUGAAAGAACUGCACCAUACACAAAUGUCCAAACUUGAAGUAUUUAUUUACAUCUUCAGCUGCAAAAAAGUUAAUGAACCUUGAGCAGAUCAGUGUCACAGAAUGCGAAUCAGUAACAGAAAUAGUGGCUAAAGAGGGUGAUGCAACUUCUGAACCCAUUAAAUUUGAGCGACUCCACACCAUUUAUCUAUUAUCUUUAACAAGUUUAGUAUGUUUUUAUUCUGGGAGUGACACUCUGCAAUUAUCAUCUUUGAAAACUGUGAAAAUAUGGAGCUGCCCCAACAUGAAGAUUUUCUCCCAAGGAAUUGAAUCCCUUAUGGAAAUUACGUUAUCCAUGGACAAGGAAGCAGACGAUUUACCCCCUCGUCAAGAUCUUAACACCAGAAUAAAAUGGAUCUCACAACGAAAGGUAAAAAUUUCAAGGAUGGGUUUAGAAAGAUAUUUAUAAUUUAUUUGACCUUAUCAUAUCGAAGGCAUAUUUACAAGUAAUUUAGAAAAUUUAUAAAAAUAAACCUUUUGUAAUAUUUACAGGAGUUUUUCGAAGCAGUGGACAAGGGGUGUUUUUCUAAUAAUCUUGAGUUACAAAAAGAUCCGCAUUAUAAGUUUGGCCUGAAAAACAAAUGGUUGGGCGAUUUGGUUACUUUGAAGCUGCAGAACUGUACUCUGCCAUGUGCACUUCCAUCUGCUAUUAUUGGUCUUCUAAAGAGCUUAAAAGAGUUGGAAGUACGGGAUAGCGCAACAGUAGAGGUACUCUUUUAUAUGAAUGACACUGAGAUUACGGAAAUAGCAUCCCAGUUGAAGAUAUUGACAUUAAAAGGGCUAUCGAAGAUGACACAUGUUUGGGAAAAGAAGAAAAAUGGAGUUCUCAUCUUUCCAAAUCUGCAACAGGUUGUUGUUAGCAAUUGUGAAAACCUGCAAUCUUUAUUUCCAGCUUCCCUGGCAAAAAAUCUUAAAAUUCUCAAGGCACUUGUGAUAGAAUAUUGUGCUGAGUUCCAAGAAAUUAUAGAAAAAGAGGAAGACACAGAAGCAAAGUUUGUACUCCCUUGUUUAGAGGAAUUCAAUCUUUCUUCCUUGCCACAACUCACUUGCUUUUACCCUCAAACAUUUACUUUGGAAUGUCCAGCCUUAUAAAUUACAUGUGUCGAACUGUGAGAAAUUGGAGUUAUUUCAAAGUGCACAUUGCAUUGGUGAGACUACUUUAGGUGACAGAGAGCCUCUUAUCUCAAGUCUAGAGGCAAGUGCACAAUAAAGAAUCUGCAAUCUAUUUUUUUUUUCCCUUUUUUUUGCCUAUUACAGUCCUUAAUUUCUGUUAAAUUUGUUUUUGAUUUAAUUUUUAGGUCAUUUCCAACCUGAAACGAUUGAGUCUUGAUUGGAAACAAAUUCUGGCAUUAAGAUCAAGGCUUAGGUCUGAAAAAUUUACAGGAGUCUUCAAAUGUAUAAAGAAUAUGUCCCUGUCAUUAGAUGCUGAUCAGAGUGAGAUACCUAUGGUGCUCAAUGAAAUAUUCCAUACAGCACCCAACCUAACAGAAAUGAUGAUGGCUAUGCCAGAUUGCAAUAAUCCGGAGAUUUUCCUUGCUCAAAACCCCAAAAUUGGUGAGGAUGGGAUACUCUUACAGCUAAGAAUUUUGACACUCCAAGUAUCUGCUAUCCGGUCCAUCCAGUCAGAGAACUCAUCAUGGUUAAACACAAUCUGCGAGAAGGUUCACGAAUUAAAUGUCUUCCAAUGCCCUCUUGUUGAAACAAUAGGAGUGCAUUCCACUUCUACAAUGUCUUUCUCUUUUCUGAAACAAGUGCGUGCAUACCGAUGUUCCCAAUUGCAGUAUUUAUUUACAUCUUCAGUCGCCAAAAAGCUAGUGAACCUCGAAGAGAUCGGAGUCCAAGAAUGUGAAUCACUGAAAGAAAUAGUGGCCAAAGGGGGAGAUGAAGAUGAGCCCGAAGGAGAAGGUGAAGAUAAAUAUGAAAAUGAGAUGGUAUUCAUGAAGCUUGAGAAAUUAACUCUUAUCUCAUUAGACAAAUUUGAAAGCUUUUACACCGGGAGUUCCACUUUAAAUUUCCCAUCCUUGAGAAGAGUGUGGGUUCAAAAUUGCUUCAGCACCAAAGUUUUCCGUCGUCGUGAUAAAGUGCCUCCGAAAUUUAGGGUGGUAAUAGAUGGAUUCCGUUGUGAAGGUGAUAAAAAACAUCUGAUCAUGCAACAGUUCGAGGAGGAGGCAUCCUGAGUUAGUUUGGUCACAAAUUCUGUAGACUAGUAAGUAAG
Molecule: long non-coding RNA, 87939 nt
Filed under: Phaseolus vulgaris (common bean)
Lineage: Eukaryota; Viridiplantae; Streptophyta; Magnoliopsida; Fabales; Fabaceae
Description: long non-coding RNA (PVUL_LNC000810)
Source: RNAcentral